AUAGCUCAUAAAUUCUCUACAAUAUUCAAUCACUACCCCAUCAUUAGAAAAACAAUUAAUUCGUAAAAAGAACACUGAUAGUAAAUUCCCAAGAGCCACCAACAUCACCUGAAACACAUAUUACAUUUAGAUGAGUGCCAGAAGAAUAUAUAUUAGCGUAUUGGCCACUUACAAUUAAUCCAAUUCAUGAUGAAGUAUUUUUCCAAGAUUACAAAUUAAUUAAUGCACAACAUCUAACAACAUAAAACCUCUGUUACAUAAUUAAAUAAAAUUCAUCAAAAUUCUAUCCUCUAUCCUCUUCUCUUGAUUCCCCUGUUCUCCUAAAGUUUCACCAUCCUUUUCUUUAUUUCUACUCUUUUUUUUUAAUCUUCUCUUUAUUCUUCUUCCACUGUAUUUGUUCAAAUUUGUUUAUCAAUCUAAGUUCUAAAACACAUAUAUUACACUGAGACUCCAAGCAACGCAAAUCCAUUUAACUUGUUCAUUAGGGCAAGACAAUCUUGGCUAAGAAGCAGCAUGUGGAAGUAUUUCAAAAUGACUAGAGAAAGACUUGCUCUAGAACUAUGAAAAUUAGCAUAUAAAAAGAAAUAGAAAAACACUAAAUAAACAAACCACCCAAAGAUUUCAUCACAUAAAGCAAGGGCAAAUUAUGUGCGAUUUCAUCACAUGAAGCAAGGGCAAAAUUAUUAUCACAUCCCACUUCACACAACUCAUUACAUACCUUACCUCAAGGCAUUACCUCAAGAACAAAUACUCUGAAAAAUCACGGAUAUCAUUUGGCCUGGAAUGAUCAGCAGAAAACAAAAACGUUAACAAAGUGCUGCAGCAAUGAUAUCAGCACAAUUUCAAACUUAGAUAGAAUCUCACUUGGGGAGUCCAAUAUUCUCAUCAAACCUUUGACUUUUAUAAAAUUUCACCAGAUGGAGCAAACCAACUCAAUCAAUUUCCAGUACAAUAGUGCGUAUAUAUCAUAUAUCAAUAUUGAGAACUGGUAGGUGCAACAUGGUCCAUAAACCAAAACAUUUCCAACUAAUAAAGCACAAUACGUGACAAAUCAAAUAAAAAAAAUAUCUUCCAAAAAGUUCAACAUGUCAAUUAAGAGAAAAAUUAUAGGAUUCAUAUCAGUGCAUCCAUAAAUGGCCUAGUUUCUCUGUCAAGAAGUUAGUCAUAAGCACAAGUCAAAAUAAAUCAUUUCACUGAAAUGCUAGAAGACCAAGCAAAUAAGCACAAUCACCACCACACAAAGCAUUUGCAUUUCCAAAAAUGUAGUUCACAAAGAUUUUACAGAAGAUAUCUUUCUAAUAGAAAAACACAAGCACCAAUCAAUUGUAAUGGGUUUGAGAAAUACCAAAGUAGUUUUCACAGUUGAAGAAUAGUCUCUCACAAAAAUUCACUUUAUACAAAUACCUCUGGUGAAUAGAUUUUGCAUACAUUUUGGUGGACCUACCAUGUGCUCAAUAUAUUUAAUAAAUAAAGGUGAGAAUAAUAACAAUACCUUAGAUGUUGUAUUAGCUAAGGCAAACUUUGCUUCAAUCCGAACUCUCCAAAAGGCCUAGAAACAACAGAAAAAUUCCUUAAUUGUAUUUCAUUAAGAGUAAGUCAAAUCAAAAUCACAUAUACCUCUAAAUUUGGUUAACUUAUCACUAAGGAAAUUAUUAGUGUGCCAACAAAAUUGAAAGAAAGACGGGGCAGAGUGUCUAGACUGCAGUAAUUGGUCGUGCCUGAGCAACAACAUCUCCAUUCUUCUCUUACUGAUUUAUCUGAUAAAUCAUAACAGUCAUGUAAGAUUGUUAUCCAAUUAAUUAAGUAAACAAUGUUAAAAGUUUGUAUCGCCACCAUCUACUCAAUAAAGAACAAUGAAGAAGUAAAAACAGAGAAGCCAUCACUCCACACUCAAAAAAUUUCUCUCACUUUCUCGCUAGCCAAACACUCAUUUUCCUCUCUCAAAACCUCGUCUUACCACUCAAAACCUUGUCUUACCACUCAAAACCCACUAAAUUUCAGCUCAAAUUCUGCCAAAAUUUUAGUCUAAUUCGAAGAUACAGUGGCUAACUCGCUGUCUUUCUCACGCCGCCAACUCCUCGUAGAACAAUCUUCUCCGAUCCGACUCCAUGUAAAUAGCACGCUACCACUCGCGUGUCACGGAAUUGUUCCACGAAGGCCAUAAAGCGGAGUCAUUGGCACGUUAGUCCACGAACUUGAAGUCAGUCCUAUAAGGCCAUGGAGCGGCUUUAUUUUUUUUUUCCUUUUUUUGGCAUAAUUUUAGGAAUUUUGAUAAAUUUAUGGUGAUUGUUGUCUCUUCAAAAAAAAAAAAAGAACUAAUCACUUACCUCUCCCGAAAGAAGUCAGUAACAGUGGCUCGAACUUGAAGAAGAUCAGUUGUUCAAGCUAUAAAAGGGAAAUGGGAAUAGCCAGCAAGCUGUGGAGUGGGGAUGAAGAUGACGACAAAGACGAACAACAGCAAUUUGUUGUCGGCAAGUGUGAUGGUGUAUUUUUGUGUGAUUCGGUUUGGAUGUAGAAAUUAGGGUUUUCUAUGUGAAGUUCAAAGGAGUGUCCAACACUUAGAAUUUUUUUUAAAGGCUUCAAGACACGGUGUCGUUUAAUGCCCAGAUUGGCCAAUCGUAAACUCACCGUUUCAUUACUAUAUAAUAUGCUAUCAUGUGUAAGUGACAGAUAAAGAAACUAUCACAAAUCUAUCAUGCCUUAUUGAUAUAUGAAAAUUCUAUCACAUAUGUGUCAUAUUUUUGUGAUAAAUGACUAAUUUUCUAAUAUCUAUCACAAAAAUUCUGUCAUAGUAGCCUGUUUUUCUAGUAGUGUCAUAUGAUCAUAGUUGUGAACUUCCAAAAGCAGGCCGCACAAAUUUUCUAAGAAGGCAUAUAACUUAUCAAAUUUCAGCUUUGACAAACACUGAUAGUUCAAAUGGUAAGAGUUCAAAUCAGUAUCAAGGCCAAAGCAUGGCAACAAUAUUGGAUGCUUGAUGACAUGAAAGCCUCUUUAAGGGAAAUCGUGUGGGUUGAAUCAAGCUAAGGUAAUCCAUUGAUUCUCAUUUGUUUAAAGAUCAAAAUUAAAUGUUUUUUACAAGGAAGAUCAAUUAACCACUGUAUCAUCUGUGGAUGACAAAAUGAGCCAUGCAUUUGCUUUUAGCAUGCCACAAAUAUUUAUGCUACAGUUUCACUUCAAGUUUUUUUCUUUAGUUUUAGAUAGAUAGGUCCCAUUUAGGAAUCCUUGACUUCAGCUUCAUUAAGCUAAAGGAUAUAAAAGCACAAAUUUCAAUAAACUAUAAUAUAAAAUAUGUUUUCUUAUCUUUUAAUUUGGAAAAUUAUUCUAUAUAAAAUAUGUCGAAAACUAUUCAUCAUUUAGUGCAUUAAAAAUAGAAGAAAAGUGAAAUAACUCUUACCAUUCGAAGUCUUCCUUUAACACCAAUUCUUUGGACAGGUUUUUCAACACAAUUUGCCUUCUUUUCUAGGCAAUUUCUGCUAGCCAGAGACCUUUGGAAAUGAAAAUGGAUAUUUUUAAUUUGAAACCAUGGUUUAGAUUUCCAACCAUAGACUCAAGUCAAUGUUUUCAAAAUUGGCAAUUUAUUGUGUUUGAUUUCAUGAGUCAACAGAAAGCAAUAAAUGUGAUCUUAAGGAACUUGCAGGCAGCAGAAUGAUUCCAGUAACUCCUCUUAUCCUUUUAUCUUGUUACCUUUUUUUUCUUUUUUAAGAUUCAUUGGUAUUAUACCACUUUCCCUGUAAAUCCUAGUUAGUUUUAUCAUUGCAAUAUCUUUCUCAACUCAUAAUGUAUUGUGAAUGUUAAUGAAGACGUUAUUUGGAACUUUAGAAAGGCGUAUAAAACGUUUUGCAAAAUGUAUUGAUUUGUUUGUUGAUGGAGAAAUGGAGGUGGUUUUAUUUUAUCCAAUAAUUUAUGUUUGUUUUUAUUUACUUGCAAAGUUGUUUUAUUUAUCAUUGUAGUUUGUAGUUGAAUAAUUAAAAUUUGCUGUUUUACUUUCUGAAUAUUUUUUAUCAUUUGGUGUUUUACCCUUUUUUUCAAAUAAUGGUGACUAUGUCCCGAAUUAGUAAUCCAAACCAUUUUUUAACCCGAAUUAACAACCCUAACUUGAACCAAAUUAUGAACUUGAACCAAAUCGAAUUAGAAAUUGAACCGAACCAAUCCAAAAUAAUUUUUCAAUCUGUUUGGGUUGAAUUCUUGAACACAAACGGGUUGCAAACCGAACCAAAAACCGAAAUGCCUACCCUUAUUUUGGUUUAUAGGCACUUUAUGUGCACGAUGGGGAGUUUAUGACGAAACGACAUGUCAUUUUUUUUAGUCUUAUUUUUUAAAAAAUUAACCAAUUUGGAAGGUGAGAAGACUAAAAUAACUAUCCUAGAACCCUUCUAAUGAGGUCGUUGAUGUUUUGAGAUAGAUUAGGCCGUUGAUGUUUUGAGAUGGACUCAUAUCUAAAGGAGUUUCAUAUGUCACACAAAGUGAAAUAUCUGUCAUUUUGGUGGUAUUUUGUCUAAAAUACCCUCUCAUUUUCAUUAAGAGCGAUCUCUUUCUACAAAAGUUUAGAUAUCUCUUUACUAAAUUUCAAACAAAAUUCAAAUAUUGCUUCAAUAAAUAUAUUCCAAAUAUUUUAAAAAUCACAUUCACUUAUAAGACACUGCAUUUGUUCAACAUUUAGCAUAAAAUUAGCUUUUGAGUUUACAUUUUUAUUUUGUUUACUUACAACAAUGCAAAUAAAAGUGUUGAAUUUAUAAGUGUUGGGUGUUUUUGAUUCGGUACUUAUUUUGUUAUAGAAUAUGAUAAAGUUUAUCUAAAUGCAUAGGCAAUAUAUUAUCUUUUGAGGCAUUUAUUGUGUUGAUCAUUAAUAAAUGAGUUUAGUAUUAGAAUGUUUAUUUUAGAUCAUAAUCUAGACUUCUUAACUUUUAAACCUCUAAACAAAUCUCGAGUCAAGAAAUUUGAAAUUUUACUAAAUAUAAAACUAAAAGUCUUAAAUUUAAAAAAGUAUGAAAUUUUACAUCUAACGUCUUUGAUCAUUAAUUGAUUGCAAUAAAAAAUUUAAAAAAUAUAUAAUUAUAUGAAAAUGCUAUACUUCUAGACUAAGGUAUCGUUUGUUUUUUGUCUGAAAUCUGAAUGGGUUUGAAUUUGGUUGAAAUCUGAAUAAGUCUGAAUUCCAUAUGUCUAAAUGACAUGUUUAUUUUUUUCUUUUUCAAUAUAUGAAUAUAAGUGACAUCUUAUUUGUUUUAAUAAAUUACAAACAUCUAAAAUAUGAUUAUUUGACAUUUAUGUCCUUUUAAGAAUUGUUUAUACUUGUUAUAAAUUUUAAGAAUUAGAUACGUGCACAUUACAAUUAAAAUCAAACAUAUAUAAAAUUAGGUAGUAAUUGAUCUUUAAAUAAAAAUAUUAUUACAUUACUCCAAAUGCAAAAUUUAAUCAAACUUAUUAUACUAAUUAAAAUUUUAAAAGAUAAGAAAGUCAAUUACAUCCUUGAGAAAAGUUGAUUUACGAGUUGAUCUCGUAGUUGUUGCAUGAAGACUUGAUCUAAUGGUCCAAAGAAGCUACUUGCAUUUGUUGGUUGAUUUAAAUAUGCACUGUUAUUUUCCAACCAACUUCUUCAUUGUCAUUCUCUAAAAAUAAUGCAUCAGUAACAGAUAAUCUUCGAAGAAAAUUGUGUAUCGCAAUGCAUGCGAUAACAAUCUUUGUCUGAGUAUAAAAUGGAUAUGGCAGCAUUCGCUUUAAAAUUGGAAAACAAGCUUUUAGAACACCAAAAGUGCGCUCAAUAACAUUCCUUAAUUUCGCAUGACUAUGGUUGAAAAUCUCCUAUUUCCCUCUAGCCCGACCACCAUCAUGAAAAUCAUUCAACCAAUAACGUAUGUGAUGAUAUGGCGCCAUAAAUCCUCCAGUAUGUGUAUAUGCCGCAUCAACUAAAUAGUAUUUUUCUGGAUUCAAUAAUUACCAAGAGUUAAUUAUUAGAAAAAAAAUUGUCUGACAAUUAUAUUAAAGGAAAAGAUUCCUUGGUGGUGGCAUUGGAAAAUUAUGUUAUGAAUCACGAAUUGUUUCUGUCAAGACUCUUGAAUCAUGUGUUGUUCCUUCCAUCCAACAACGACAUACUUAAAUACCAUGUCUAAGUCACAAAUUGCCAUGACAUUUUGAAAACAUUCCCCUCUUCCGCGACUCUAUAUGGCACUUGUUUAUCUAUUGGAAUACAUGCAUGAAUUAAAGUUCCAUCUAUUGCACUAACAACACCUUACAAAAGCAAAUAUUAUUACUAUGAGAGAUGUAUUAAUUACGUUAUUAUUUAUCAUUGAUAAAAGAUAAUUUACGUUGAAUAUUUCACAUAGCAUGUGAUUAGCUAUGCUACUUAAAUCAUCAUUAAAUGAAGGAGGAGUAAUCAUUUCUUUUGAGAACUUCAUCAUGGGUACUAAAACUGUGAGGAAAUAAGCGGCUGGUCAACAAAUGGUUGUUGGGUUUAAAUGAAAGUUUUGAAGAAGUCUGGGGGCAUUGUGCAGAUCGACUUCAGCUAGAGGGGUCUAGUUGAAAUAUUCGAGCUGAUGUGGCAGAAUUGGUUAUGAGUUCGUUAUGAUUUCCCAGAAACACCAGAAUAUAAAUACGUGUGUUUUAGCCUCUGAUAAAGGAGAGUAAUCUUUUUCAUUUCUUGAUCAUCCAGUUAGCUAUUUGGUUCUUUGUGAUCCUUAUAACUUCUUCUAUAGAAUCAGCUUGUAAAUUCGAUUAUGGAGAUCAAUAAAAGAGCAGUUUUUCCUUCUACAAGUUGAGUACUUGAAACUGUGCUCUGUUCAAGUCCUUUUAUAUUUUCUUUCUUGAUUAGCUUGCUUUAAUUAGUUCUUUCUAGAUUCAAUACGUUAAUAGGGUUACAACAACUGGUAUCAGAGCCAGUGGUGGUUCAAAAACAUGUCUCUUCCAAAACCCGAUAUUGAAAGGUUCACCAUUGGUGGUGACUUUUCACUUUGGAGGAUGAAAAUGAGAGCUCUCCUUGUUCAUCAAGGUCUCGAAUCAGCACUGGAAGAAGAUGAUCUUGGGGAUGCUUCAAGUUCAGUCCCUGAUGAGAAGAAGAGACAGAUACAGAACAAGGCUCACAGUACCUUGAUCUUGAGUCUCAGUGACUCAAUUCUAAGGGAGAUUUCUGAAGAGAAGACUGCCCUUGGUAUCUGGAACAAGGUGGAGGCUUUGUGUAUGAAAAAGUCCCUGGCACAUCGAUUGUUCUUGAAGAAAAGGCUAUAUACCUUUUCUAUGAGAGAAGGGGUCUCGAUUCAAGAACACAUUGACAACUUCAACAAGAUCAUUCUUGAUCUUGAAGGAGUUGAAAAUGUGAAAAUAACUGAUGAGGAUAAAGCCUUCUUUCUACUGAGCUCACUGCCAAAAAUCUAUGAAGGAUUUGUAGACACCAUGCUGUAUGGCAGAACUACACUCACUCUAGAGGAUGUAAAAGCCUCUUUGAGUUCUAAGGAGAUCCAGAAGAAUAAUGGGCAUGAAGUUAGUAAUGGUGAAGGCUUAUUUGCCAGAACAGAAAAGAAAAAUCAGAAGAAGAAGAAGAACAAUAGUCAAGCUAAAAAGGAUGAUGUAUCUGUAAAAGAAAAGAUGAAGAAAAGAAAGUGCUUCUACUGCAAGAAACAAGGUCACUACAUUAGAGACUGUGCUGAGAAAAAAAGGGAUGAAAAAGAGAGAACAGGUGAUGCAGCAGUAGCCUCAGAUGACUCCUCUGAUGAUGGAUACCAUAGUGCUGAUUUACUGGUGGCUUCAAAUAGCAAUAUCAAAGGUCAGUGGGUUCUUGAUUCAGGCUGUUCAUUUCAUUUGUGUCCUGAUAAAAGCCUUUUCCAUACAUAUAAACCUGUGGAUGGUGGUAGAGUGUUGAUGGGUAACAACAAUGUGUGUAAGAUUGUUGGCAUGGGGUCUGUCAAAGUAGAGAUGUUUGAUGGGUCUGUUCAAACUCUAAGUGAUGUAAGGCAUGCACCUAGGCUAAAGAGAAACUUGAUCUCUUUAGGCAUGCUAGAUGGUAUGGGAUAUAGCUUUGAAUCUGAAAAUGGUGGUUUAAAGAUUAUGAAUGGGACUGAGAUGAUAAUGAGAGGAGUUAAGAAGAAUGGCUUGUAUGUGUUAGAAGGAUCAUCAGUGCCUGGAGCAGCUGCAAUGCCUGCUGUUUCUGAUGUUAAUAGAGCCAUGAUAUGGCACCUUAGACUAGGCCAUAUGAGUAUUAGGGGAAUGCAAGAGCUGAGUAAGCAAGGGCUGCUCUGUGGUGAUAAUAUAGAUGAGCUAGACUUCUGUGAAAAUUGCAUCUUUGGCAAGGCACACAGGUCCAAAUUCACAAAGGGCAUACAUGUAUCUAAACAACCAUUAGAUUAUGUACAUGCUGAUUUAUGGGGGCCUGCACAAGUACCAUCCUUGAGUGGGGGAAGGUAUUUUAUGUCAGUCAUAGAUGACUACUCCAGAAAAGUAUGGAUCCACAUACUGAAGACCAAAGACCAAGCCCUAGAGAAGUUCAAGAUUUGGAAGACUUUGGUGGAGACUCAAUCUGGUUUCAAGGUGAAAUGCCUAAGAACAGACAAUGGACUUGAAUUCUGUAAUAAAGAGUUUGAGCAAUGCUGCCAGAAAUGGGGAAUGAAGAGGCACAAAACAGUAAGAUUCACUCCUCAGCAAAAUGGUUUAGCUGAGAUGAUGAACAGAACACUUGUUGACAAGACAAGAUGUUUGUUGAUAAACUCUAAGCUUCCUAGGAGUCUUUGGGCAGAGGCUGUUUCUACAGCCAGUUACCUGGUAAACAAAAGUCCAUCUUCAGCAAUUGGCUUCAAAACACCUGAAGAGCUCUGGUCUGGAAGACCUGGAAAAUAUGAACACCUGAGGGUAUUUGGAUGCCCUGCUUAUGUCCAUGUCAGACAAGGGAAGCUUGAUGCAAGAGCUAUAAAAAGGGUAUUUAUUGGUUAUCCAGAUGGGGUCAAAGGCUACAGGGUCUGGUGUAGAGAGGCCAAUAAGUGUCUGAUCAUUAGAGAUGUCCAGUUUAAUGAAGUGGUUAUGAUCAAUAACUCUGACCAAGCCACCUCUGCUAAUGACAUCAGUACAAAUGACACACAAGCCACCACAGAAACUGAUCAAGGUGAAAAGAUUGAGGUGGAGUUGUCUAAAGAUUAUGAAGAUGAAAUACAACCAGAGGCUGUUGAAGCUGAGUCUCAAGAUGCAGAAGUGACAGAAGGUGAAGCUCCACAAGCAACUGAUUUACAACAAUAUCAAUUAGCUAGAGAUAGAGAAAGAAGACAUACCAGACCUCCAGCAAGAUAUGCAUAUGCAGAUAUGGUUGCAUAUGCCUUGAUGAGUGCAGAAGAUGUUGCAAUUGAAGAGCCUAACAGCUACAGAGAAGCAAUGAAUAGCAAGAAUAGCAGAAACUGGAUUAAAGCUAUGAGGGAGGAAAUGGAUUCUCUGGUAAGGAAUCAGACUUGGAUUUUGGUCCCGAAUCCAGAGAAUAGGAAGAUUGUCAGCUGCAAGUGGAUAUUCAAGAAAAAGGAGGGCAUUCCAGGUGUUGAAGACUCAAGAUAUAAGGCAAGACUGGUGGCAAGAGGGUUCACACAGAAGGAGGGGAUUGAUUUCAAUGAAAUCUUCUCACCAGUAGUAAAACACAGCUCAAUCAGAACCCUGCUUGCUAUGGUGGCUUUGUUUGAUCUAGAGCUUGAACAAAUGGAUGUAAAGACUGCCUUCUUACAUGGCAAUCUUGAAGAAAAGAUAUUGAUGUCUCAACCUGAAGGUUUUGAAGAACAGGGACAUGAGGAUUACGUGUGUCUCCUUAAAAGGUCCCUAUAUGGCUUGAAACAAUCUCCUAGGCAAUGGUAUAGGAGAUUUGACCAGUUUAUGAUCUCCAAUGACUAUCACAGGAGCAAAUAUGAUAGUUGUGUGUAUCAUGGGAUUAUGAACUCAGGUGGAAACUCAGGUGGAGCAGUAUAUCUCCUACUAUAUGUUGAUGAUAUACUCAUUGCUGGUAAAAAUCUCAGUGACAUCAAAAAGCUCAAGAAUUUGCUGAAAGGAGAAUUUGAAAUGAAAGAUCUUGGCAGUGCCAAGAGGAUCCUUGGGAUAGAUAUUGUUAGAGAUAGAACAGCUGGUACCUUGUUUCUAAACCAGUCAAGGUACAUCAGCAAAGUGCUGGAAAGGUUUCAGAUGAUGGACUCAAAACCAGUACUGACACCCCUUGGAGCUCAAUUCAAACUCUCUGAAGAUAUGUCUCCAACUUCAGAUGUUGAGGAGGUAAAGAUGGCUGAUAUACCAUACUCACAAGCUGUAGGAAGCUUGAUGUAUGCAAUGGUUUGCACCAGAGCAGACAUAGCUUAUGCAGUGAGUGUGGUGAGCAGGUUUAUGAGUAACCCUGGUAAGCUUCACUGGGAUGCUGUGAAAUGGGUCAUGAGGUACCUGAAAGGAACCUUAGAUCAUGGUCUGAUGUAUGGUAAAUCUAAGCAUGAGGUCUGUGAAGUCAGAGGAUAUGUUGACUCUGAUUUUGCAAGUGACUUGGACAGAAGAAAAUCUAUCUCAGGUUAUCUGUUUAUGUUGGAUAGUUGUCUCAUAAGUUGGAAAGCUACUCUACAACACAUAGUAGCUUUGUCAUCUACUGAGGCAGAAUUUGUUGCUGCAACAGAGGCAGUGAAAGAAUCAAUGUGGUUAAGAGGGCUGCUAAAUGAACUCUGGUUGAAACAAAAAACAGUGAAAAUUUUUUGUGAUAAUCAGAGUGCCAUUCAGCUCAUCAAGAACCAAGUUUAUCAUGAGAGAACAAAGCACAUUGAUGUGAAGUUGCACUUUAUUAGAGAUGAGGUCGCAAAAGGGUCAGUUGCAGUGAUCAAGAUACAUACAGACAUCAACCCUGCUGAUAUGCUAACCAAAGUGCUACCAACAGCAAAAUUUAAGUUUUGUGUAGACUUAAUUGGUGUUGGCAGCAGCUCUAGUCCCUGAAACAUAUGUUUUUGAAGGUUUUUUAUGCUACUUAAUUGAGAUGAUCAGCUGAAUCGAGUCUGCAAGGUGGAGAGUGUGAGGAAAUAAGCGGCUGGUCAACAAAUGGUUGUUGGGUUUAAAUGAAAGUUUUGAAGAAGUCUGGGGGCAUUGUGCAGAUCGACUUCAGCUAGAGGGGUCUAGUUGAAAUAUUCGAGCUGAUGUGGCAGAAUUGGUUAUGAGUUCGUUAUGAUUUCCCAGAAACACCAGAAUAUAAAUACGUGUGUUUUAGCCUCUGAUAAAGGAGAGUAAUCUUUUUCAUUUCUUGAUCAUCCAGUUAGCUAUUUGGUUCUUUGUGAUCCUUAUAACUUCUUCUAUAGAAUCAGCUUGUAAAUUCGAUUAUGGAGAUCAAUAAAAGAGCAGUUUUUCCUUCUACAAGUUGAGUACUUGAAACUGUGCUCUGUUCAAGUCCUUUUAUAUUUUCUUUCUUGAUUAGCUUGCUUUAAUUAGUUCUUUCUAGAUUCAAUACGUUAAUAGGGUUACAACAAAAACCUUAUGCAAGCAUUUGUGUACUGCUUAAGUCGAUUACUAAGAUUGUGACUAAUUGUCAUCAAGAACAUUGCCAUUUUUCACUCAACAGACACAUGUUUACUAGGGUAUAACCAUAUUUUUACCUUGAAGAAUUGACAUAAAUAAAUGAACCCAUUCUUCUCCAUUCGCAUUAAUUCAUAACAUGUAGAAGAUUGUCCACUUAAAAGAUUUUUGGUAAAAUCCAAACUUGUAAGUUUUGAUUCUGGCGGUCUUUUAAUGUUCAGUGGCUUUAAUAAAUUAGGUAUCAACAUAAUCAAUUGUUUUCGUAGCAAUCUCUUAACCUUAUAUUUCUUAUCAUCAUCUCCUUCACUUAAAGCUUUCAUAGAAAUAUCUAAAAAAAAGGAAAAAAGACCACAAUAGUAACAAUAUCUAAAUUUUUUGUACUGUAAUAUCAUCUAACAAUUAAAGAAAAUAUGACAAUUUAUAAAGAAAUAAUAAUAAGCUUGUGAAGAAGUAAAAUGAAUAAAUAAAAAUAACAUAACAUAAAUAAAAAUAACAUAACCAUUAAAUCACCAUAUAAUAUUUUUCAAUGAAAAGACAUUAUCAAAAUUUAGCAAGCGCAAUAAAAAGACUUUAGAUUCAAGACAUUUUAAUUUAAAUAAAAGCGGUUCCCAGCCUAUUUUGCUAAACUUUGAAUCCACCAGAUUUGUUCUUAGUCACUUUCCAUCUCCAUCCACACCUCUCUGUACUCCUUUUUGUUACACAAUGUGUUGAUUGCUAUAUAAUAAAGGGGAUCCUAAAUAGGUAAAAUCUUUCGUAAAAUUGUCGUACAAUCUUUCAUUGUAGGUCCUCUAUCAUCAAUCUUCUCCAAUACCUUUACUAACUUUUUGAAUUUUUAACUAGUUUCAUCAAUUUUCUGUUCUUUUGUUUUUUCUUAGAACCUUAUACCUCAUUUAUACUUGGCUGAUCGGAGUUGUAAUCUGAUGCAGGUGUUUUAGGUCCAUUAUCAUCAUCCUCUACUUUAAUUGAAGUUUCAUUAGGCAUAGGUGUUUCAAAUAUUGAUGACAGAUUUCCCACUUCUGCUAAGUCAUUCAUGCCAGAACUCCAAGUAUUAGAUCUAGUAGCUAAAACUCCAGAGAACAACGUCUCUAAUUCCUCGGCAUUAGCUAAAGGCUUAAAACGAAACUGUCUAGCUUUUGGAUAUUUCUAUUUAACAAUGAAAAAGUAGUUAACGCCUAUAUAUUAUAAAAUCUUUUAUAAACUCAUUCUAAUAAAUUAAAUAAUUAAAAUGUUACCUUUAUGUACUCUUCCCAUCUUUCAUCUGGCCAAUCAAAUGUUUGGGUCAUAGGAUUGUAAUCAUAUCCUGUUACUGUUGUCAUCUUAAUCCUUGUUGAAUAUUGUUUUUUCAUAUAAUCCCAACCAUUUUUAAAGCUUCUUCCAGAUAUCUUAAAUAUUUCUUCUCCAAUUCGAGCCCAAUCACGUGGCUUUAAAGUUCCUCCUUAUCUAAUUCCAUUAUUUAUCUCAAUGAGGCAAAGAUCAAUUAAUUGCUUUAUUUGGACAAGAUCACUCCAAUUUGCUCUACAAACUCCAACAUUUUCAGCCAUUUAUGAUCGAAUCAAGUCAUAGACAUGUAUAAUUAGUAUUGAAAAUAGAAGAUAAUUAUGUUAAUAGUUAUUGACUUCUUCAAUGUAAACAUGUUGUCCUCUAUUUCUAGAAACCGAAAAAAAUAUUUCACAAUAAUGAAAUUGAUGACAACAAUAACAGUUAUCUAAUGUUUCAAAUUUCUUAAACUUAAAACUAGUAGCUCUUAAACUUAAAACUAGUAGCAAAUGCUAAAUGGAAUCAAAACAAUAUGCAAGCAUAUUGAGUUGUCUAGUCUAGAUGAAAUUUACUUGAUUCAUAUGGAAGCUAAAUAGUAGCAAGAGUAUGAUGAUUGAAAUAUAAAGAGAGAAAUACAUAGUACAAAACAACAAUUAGAGUAAUGAUGACAUAUGAGAUGUAGUUGCCAAAAUUAAACAAAUCACAAACGCAAUAAUAUCACAGAGCCUUAAAAAAAAAAACACACACAGAGCAUAACAAUACCUCUAGGGAUCUGAAAGUGAUAGGCCUCGACGCUCAUCAAGGGUACCUAAGCCUAAUACCCUGUAUCAAGGAUACACAUGAGCUGCUGCAUGAGAACUUGGUAGUUGAAGGGACACAUGUGCACUCCACUAGUUUUGCAGAUGGACUUGGUCUCCAAAGAAUCUUCACUUGCUGAUUUUAUGUUAUUUGAUUUCUUAUUAUUUGAAUUAUUGUUAUUUAGCUGUUAGUUUAAGAGAAUAAGUCAGCCUAGAAUCAGCCAACAAUCACGAUCAGUUGAGAUUGUGAUGGCUUCAUAUUGUUCUAAGUAUAAAUGAGCUCCAACAGCAAGAAUAAAGGAGGAGAGUAUCAACUAAAUUCAAUUACUUGUGGUUAUUCUCACCCUAAGAGAAAUCUAUUUUAAUUAGCUUUGACUGGGACCGCAUCAGAAAGUCGUAUUAAUAUAAGAAAAGCCAAUGCACAACUUAGCAGAAGUGAAGAAGGUAACCGACCACAAUUUAUUUCACGAUCUACUAAGCUUGAGUGCCCAAAGUUUGCAGGUGGCGACCCAACAGAAUGGCACAACCGAAUACUUCAAUUCUUCGAGUACCAAGAGUCCACCGACGAACAGAAGGUGUCUCUUGCUUCCUUUCACCUCGAAGGAGAGGCCAACCAAUGGUGGCAAUGGCUGCGGCGUGCGUAUCGUGAGGAAAACAAAUUGGUAACAUGGAACAAUUUUGUGGAGGAGCUUUGGGCUCGCUUCGGACCUACGGAAUGCGAAGAUUACAAUGAAGCCUUAUCAAGAGUAAAACAAACAGGGACUCUCCGUGACUACCAAAGAGAGUUUGAGAGGUUGGGAAACCGAGUUAGUGGCUGGACACAAGGGGCGCUUGUGGGAACCUUCAUGGGGGGCCUGAAACCGGAGAUUGCGGAUGAAAUUAGGAUGUUCAUGCCAAAAACGUUGAAGGAUGCGUUUAAACUCGCACGAAUGAGAGAUGAACAGCUGACUCGUCAAAGGAAAACAAUUGUAACGAACCCAACCACAACCAAUCGCUCCCCAACAACAAGCAGCAUCAAGAUGCUACCAUGGGAAGAGAUGCAGCGUAGAAGAGCACUUGGUUUGUGUUUCAACUGUAACGAACGUUUCACUGCAGGUCACAAGUGCCAAGGACCACAGUUGCUGUUACUUGAAGUUGGAGCCGUUGAUAAUGAAAACGCAAACAAUGAACAAACAAAAGAAAUUCAAACUGAACCCGAAAUCACAUACUACGCUCUCAUGGGCUGGACCGCUCCUCAGACCAUGAGGGUCUCUGCCAAAAUUGGGCCUUACAAAAUUGUGGUACUGAUUGACAGUGGUUCGACGCACAACUUUAUCAGCAGUCGUUUGGCAAAUUUGUUACAGCUCCCGGUUCUUCCUACCUCUGGAUUCUCAGUAAAAGUAGCUAAUGGUGAAACGUUAUUAUGCAGGGGCAAGUUCGAAAAGGUACAACUAUUCUUGCAAGAUAUUCCAUUUACUCUUACCUUGUAUGCAUUGCCCAUUACAAGGUUAGAUUUGGUACUUGGGAUACAAUGGUUGGAGCAAUUGGGCUCGGUAGUGUGUAAUUGGAAGCAACUCACAAUGGAAUUUGAUUGGGAGAACCAAAAGCGGCAGCUGCAAGGUAUUGGCCUUCAGGCUCCACAAUUGGCCUCUCUCACUGAAAUUUCCCAUGAUGCUAAGCAAGGGCAGCAAGGUUUCACAAUUUGCUUCAAUAUGAGGCUUGAACCCGCACUAAGCAAGACGGCAUCAGAUAUGCAAAGUUUGCUGGAGGAGUAUUCAACUUUAUUCCAAGAACCAACACAUCUUCCCCCAAGCCGUGAGAUAGAGCACAACAUUACAUUAAAGGAGGGAACCGAACCUGUUAAUGUAAGGCCAUACAGAUAUGCUCACUUCCAAAAAGAUGAAAUUGAACGACAAGUCAAUGAGAUGCUCAAUUCAGGGUUAAUACGACCAAGUACCAGCCCAUUUUCUUCACCCGUGCUCUUGGUGAAAAAGAAAGAUGGAAGUUGGAGAUUUUGCACUGAUUACCGUGCGCUCAAUGCGGUUACUGUCAAGGACCGAUUUCCUAUACCAACCGUUGAUGACAUGUUGGAUGAGUUGCAUGGAGCCGCUUUCUUUACCAAACUAGACUUACGGGCCGGGUACCACCAAGUUCGAGUCAAACCCACAAAUGUUCACAAGACAGCCUUCAGAACACACAACGGCCAUUACGAGUAUCUGGUAAUGCCAUUCGGCCUUUGUAAUGCUCCAUCAACAUUCCAGGCAAUCAUGAACUCUAUUUUUCGGCCGUACUUAAGAAAAUUUAUUUUAGUUUUCUUUGACGACAUACUAAUAUACAGCUCCUCUUGGAGUUAUCAUCUUGAUCAUGUCAGACAGGCAUUAGAGGUAUUAAAGCAGCACCAAUUUUUUGUUAAAUCAAGCAAAUGUCACUUUGGACAGCAGGAGUUAGAAUAUUUGGGGCACAUCGUCACCUGUCAUGGUGUGAAGGUGGAUGACUCAAAAAUUGCCGCUAUGGUCUCUUGGCCACUACCAAAAAAUAUCAGCGAAUUGCGAGGCUUCCUAGGACUAACGGGAUAUUACAGAAAGUUUGUGCAGGGAUAUGGGCUGCUAGCAAAACCUCUCACCAAUUUGUUAAAAAAAGGGCAAUUUGAGUGGAGCAUGGAAGCUGAGGAAGCAUUCAACAAACUAAAGAAAGCAAUGACCAGCACCCCUACCUUGGCUAUGCCGAAUUUCAACAACACUUUCAUCAUUGAAACAGAUGCCUCGGGAGACGGGAUAGGAGCAGUCCUACAACAAAAUGGUCAGCCAAUCGCAUUCAUGAGUAAAGCACUUGGAGUUUCCAAGAAAACAUGGUCUUCCUAUGCUAAAGAAAUGUUGGCGAUAGUGGAGGCAAUUCGUACAUGGAGACCGUAUCUAUUGGGAAGAAAAUUCAUUAUCCGGACAGACCAACGCAGCCUAAAAUAUCUCUUGGAGCAACGCAUAGCCACACCAGAACAACAGGAAUGGAUAGCAAAACUAAUGGGGUUUGAAUAUGAAAUCCAAUAUCGGCCGGGCAAGGAGAAUAUGGCAGCGGACGCUCUCUCCCGACGUCCUGACAGUGCAAUACUUAACCAUCUAUUUGUGUCACAGGUUUCAAUUUGGGAACAAAUUAAACACGCUGCUGCAGAUGAUGACUAUGUUAAAAGAAUAACAUCAUUGGCCCACACACAAGAUACCAGCCCAUAUGUAAUUCGUCAAGGAUUAGUCUUCUUCAAAGGCAGAGUUGUGGUGCCGCUCAAAUUACGAGAAACGUUAAUCUUUGAAGCACACGACACAAAGAUGGGCGGCCAUUCUGGAGUACUUCGCACGUUCAAACGCUUGGCAACUCAAUUCUACUGGCCUUAUAUGUACAAAAUAAUACAUGAUUAUGUUAGCAGGUGUGUUAUUUGUCAAAAAACAAAAGCUUCCACACUGAAGCCAGCGGGUCUCCUACAACCUCUUCCAAUUCCUUGCAAAGUGUGGGAUGAUAUCACACUCGAUUUUAUUGAGGGAUUACCAAACUCGCAAGGGAAGGAUACCAUCCUAGUUGUUGUUGACAGGCUCAGUAAAUAUGCACACUUCAUGGCUUUGACGCAUCCGUUCACAGCAAAAACAGUGGCGGAACGAUUUGUUGACGGUGUGGUUAAACAUCAUGGCAUGCCAAAGUCAAUCAUCAGCGACAGAGACCCCAUUUUUAUUAGUAAGUUUUGGCAGAAGUUCUUCCAAAUGUCAGGAACCAAAUUGAAAUUGAGCUCGGCGUACCAUCCGCAGACCGACGGACAAACGGAGGUCACAAAUAGGUGCUUGGAACAAUACCUCCGGAGCUUUGUUCACCAAUGGCCUCGCAAAUGGAAUUCAUACCUUCCUUGGGCAGAGUAUUGGUACAAUACGACGUAUCAUGAGUCUACUGGUAUGACCCCUUUCCUUGCUCUUUAUGGCCGCAAACCUCCCACUUUGCCCAUGUAUCAUGAAGGCUCUUCUCCGGUUCAUGAGGUAGACCAGGCCCUGCUAACUCGAGAUGAGUUGCUUCAAUUGCUGAAGAGCAAUCUUGCUGUUGCCAUUAAUCGCAUGAAACAAUCAGCCGACAAAAGGCGUCGUGAUGUUCAAUUUCAGCCUGGCGAUAUGGUCUAUUUAAAACUCCAGCCAUAUCGUCAAGCUACGGUUUUUCAGCGUGCUCAUCAGAAAUUAGCAAGCAAAUACUUUGGUCCAUAUCUAGUUCUUGAACGGAUUGGUAGUGUUGCUUAUAAACUACGAUUGCCAACUCAGUCUCGUGUGCACCCAAUCUUUCAUGUUUCAUUGCUGAAAAAAUUUAUUGGUGAUAACCCUAGCCCUGGUCUUGAGUUGCCAUCUGUUGAUGAUGAUGGGCUAAUCAUUUUAGAACCUGCUGAAAUUAUUGAUGUUCGUUGGAUUAAAAGAGGUGGCAAAUUUGUGGAACAAUGUUUGGUGCAAUGGAAACGUCUGCCAAAGGAAGAAGCAACAUGGGAAGAUGCUGUAGAGCUUACGCAGAAGUUUCCUCAUUUGUCCCUUGUGGACAAGGGACCACUUCCAGGGCGGGAGGAUGAUAGGCCUCGACGCUCAUCAAGGGUACCUAAGCCUAAUACCCUGUAUCAAGGAUACACAUGAGCUGCUGCAUGAGAACUUGGUAGUUGAAGGGACACAUGUGCACUCCACUAGUUUUGCGGAUGGACUUGGUCUCCAAAGAAUCUUCACUUGCUGAUUUUAUGUUAUUUGAUUUCUUAUUAUUUGAAUUAUUGUUAUUUAGCUGUUAGUUUAAGAGAAUAAGUCAACCUAGAAUCAGCCAACAAUCACGAUCAGUUGAGAUUGUGAUGACUUCAUAUUGUUCUAAGUAUAAAUGAGCUCCAACAGCAAGAAUAAAGGAGGAGAGUAUCAACUAAAUUCAAUUACUUGUGGUUAUUCUCACCCUAAGAGAAAUCUAUUUUAAUUAGCUUUGACUGGGACCGCAUCAGAAAGUCGUAUUAAUAUAAGAAAAGCCAAUUGAUAAUCUAAAAGAUAAUAUGAUUUUAAAAUAGUCUUGCGUCGGGCUUGGGCUAUUUCUGUAAAGCCCUAGCUCAACCCUCUCACAUGGUGCCUGGUGGUGGCCUAGGCUAUUCAGAAAAGGUAUCGAAACAAAACAAGAGAUUGAAAGGCAAGAAAUGCACAUUUUUAAACGUUUUUUUCCUACUGUAGUUAGAAAGGUUGAUAAAUAAAUUGAAGUUAUUGUAUAUAUUAUGUAUAUGUAACUCUACUAGUAUGAGUGAGAGUGAGAACAAUCAAUUAAUCCAAAAGAUUUUAGAAAAUCAACUCAAAAAACCAAUCAACAUCAAUGGUGUAAGUAGUGGCGGACCAAGACACUUAAAUCGGGGGAGGGGGGCUUAGUUUAAGAAAUUUUAUUUAAUUUGGAGUAUUUUUUUAAAUGUUCACUUGAAUUCAUUUUAAAUUUCAUAAACUCAAAUUCCAUUGCUUUCUUUUAAAUUUUAAAUAAUAAUAGUAAUAAAUUAUUUAUUUUAAAUGUGUGAAAGUAUCCUUUUUCUAAAUAGUUUUCACAAAAUAUUUAAAAAGACAAAAUAAUAUGGUUAUUGGGAUUUGAACCAAGAUUCUAAAACCAUCAAAUAACAUACUUACCAUUAAAUUACUAAAUUUUUGUUAUGUAAAAGUGUGUCCCAAUUCUUUUUAUUUAACUCUUUUAGAAGGGGCUUGGAGUGCAUUUAAAAAAAAAAAUUAAUGGCACAGAAGGAGCUGAAGUCCCUCCUGAGCCUUAGUUGGGUCCACCCAUGGGUGUAAGUAACUGAGACAAUAAUUUCAUCAAUAAAAAUUUAAGAAAUAACAUAUAAAUUAGCACUAAUGUAAAAACAUAAUAUUUAGAAAAAUUGUAAAAAAAAAAAAAAAAGUAUACGUUAAUACUAGAGAUUCAAUGGGAUGUAUUUGAAGAAUUUCAAUGCUAACGAAAAAGAGAACAAAUAGAAAGAAUAUUUGAACGUUAAUUAGAAAGAGAUAAAGAAGUAUUAGAUUUUACAAUAUGAGAAAUAUGUAUAUUUAAUAGGGAUAUUAUUGGAAUAUAGUAUUUAUUUCCUAUUCAUACUUUUUUCAUUAGAUAAAAUCACAUAAUUUUAUUUUUUCUAUUCAGCCGUAAAUAUCUAAAAAUCAUAUAUAAGUUGAAAAAACAAACAAACAAAUUUGAAAACAAACAUAUGAAGAGUGUGUUUGGGAGUGAGAUACUGUAGUUUUUAAGCUGCAACUUCUGUAGAGUAAAAACUACAGCUAUAGAAUAGAAGUUAAAAAAAAAUUACUAAAUUAUCAAAGGUCAGUUACAAAUAUUAUCAUAUACUUUAGUAGUUAGGCUAUUACCUCACUCCCAAACGGACUAAAAACGCUUAACAAACACGCACUGUGUCCAGAAGUCCAAAACAUGAUUUAAAAAUAUUCAGUGGUAUUAAAUAAAAGGAUAUUUAGGUAAUUUCACUUCAGAGUCUGUCAUAUUCUUGACGGUUAAAGGCAUUAUUGAGUCAUUUAUCUGGGGCAAAUCGGCAAAUCCCUCGCUAAAAACCAGUUAACCUUUACCAGCACUAUCUAAGGGUUUACGAUUUUCCAAAAUUUUAUGGCCCAAAUGGAGAGGUCUCAAGUUGAAACGACGUCAUUCUGUUUCUCUCCUCAUCGCCAUCUCAAGAGCGAAACUUACCGUGCUCUAGUUCAGAUUCUAUCGCAUUGCUAUGACCACUCUCAAAUCUCUGCUGCGCAAGACUCAAGACCGGGUACUUGAUUUACACCGUCCAUUAGAAUUUUAAAUUUUAGUUUAAGAAGCUGAAUUCACGUUUUAUUUUAGGAACUCUUAUAUUAACAGAUUUGAUUACCUAAAAUUUGCUUGAAUAUUACAAUCCCUCUGUUUCAAUAUGCUUCUGCUACUAUUACUUUCAAUUAUGUUAUUCUUUUUUCUGUGUGUGUGUGUGUUUUUUUUUUCUUUUACAUUUUUAUUUUUUUUCUCUUUUAAAGGAAUGUGUGGGAGUGGCGAAUUGGUGGGUCCCAAUGCUGCGGUGGUUGAUAACUCCUUGGCUGAGAAAGACAAAGCUGGUGACGAAGAUAGAUGGUUUGGUGACGCUCAAAUUGUGCUGGAUGAGAUACAGGAUAUAUUGCAAGUAGAAGAAAAUGGCAAUUUGCUGAAGCAAGAGCUGGCAGUUUGUGAUGGUGACUAUGAGACUGGUAACUUUGAUGAAGGGUUAGGGCAGCAACGAAUGUUAAUGGAUGAGUUAGAGCAUAUUCUGAAGGGAGAUGUAAUCUUUGUCCACGAAGAGGAUGCAUUGGUGAAUGAUCGACAGGAACAUGUUGAUAUUCAACAAAUUGUUAAUGUGGAAUCUAGGAGUGAGGCUGAGCUACAAGUAGAUAAAGGAGACAGUAAUUUAGAUGUUCCUAAGUCAUUUGAUUCUUCUGUAGACAGAAAUAUGGAUUCUCACGCCUCAAAACCGGCUGAGGAUAGUGAAGAGAGAAAUUCUAAAUUGAGGACAAAUUCAUUGGAAUUUGAGAAUGAAAUGCAGCAGAAGGAGAUGGAAGAGGAGAAAUUAGUUCAUACAAAUGGCAUAAUUGGUGCCCAUGAUCAUAGGGCUGAAGAUGUAGAGGUUGAAGAGGGAGAAAUUUCUGGCCACUUUGAGGUUGACGAAGUAUCCAUUGAUAUGAUAAUUGACAAUGCUGUAGUGUCAAAUGAAAAGAAAGAAGACGAGGAGCAAGUUUCCAAAGAUGUAACUGAUAAGACAGACUUCCCUUGUAAUGAAAAAUGUGGAGGCACUGAGAAAUUUUCUGACUCCACUUCUGUUUGUUUGAAUGCUGUCGACCAUAACGCUAGUGGUGGAACAGUGGAACUCCAAGAAACUGUUAGAAAUGAAACACAAUGCAAGACCAAAAUCUUUGCUGAUGGAACUGCCACAAUGGCCAUAGAUCCAGACAGGUAUAAUAGCAUGCCUGGUGUUGGAAGAAAUAAGAGGAAAGCUAGUAGAGAUGAGGAGGGUAUCAGCAGUUUUUCAGCAUCUCUUGAUGAUUCAACAGUGCAGAAAGAAGUUGUAAAGCAAAGGGUGACUCAAGAGCAAGGAAUUACGACCAAAGACAAGGUGCAAUUCUUAUUUCUUAUAGUACUUAAUUUACUAUUUUAUAUAUGUGUUCGCUACAGCAAUAUAGUGAUAAAUUUGUUUCAUUACAUCUGUUAAUGUGCUCCACUGUGUAGUAUAUGUUUGAUUUUCUUCUUUUCUUUUUUCCUUUUCUUUCUCCAUUAUUUGAUAAUUUAUAAUGCACGGCCUUUAUUGCCAAGGAGGCUUUUUGAUUGGUCAUCAUGUAUGCCUCUCUGUUGUUUAUAUACAAUCCACAACUUUUAGUUUGUGGAUCUGGCUUAACUUUCAAAAUAUGGUUCUGGGGGAAAUUGUGGAUUACAACUUUUGGCAAUCUCUAGCUACAAGCAUGGCCGCAACUGUCAUCAGAUUUGGACAAGUUAAUUGUACCUUCAUGAUCAUUGCUGUGAAAUGGAGAGUGUCAACCAUAUGCAUUGCAAAUUGUGUGACUUGUUGAAAUAAUACGUUUGUUUCAUUCUUCCUUUCACUUUCCGAAGCAGAAUUUAUUCUGAAACCAGUCAUUUUGAGGGUGCAAUUAAUAUGUAAUCCACUGGCACUUUUUUUUUCUCUUAGAUGUACAUGCAACGGACACGAACAUACUUGUAUACAAUAGCGACAGACUUUCUCUGUAAUGUCUGGUUAUAAAUAUCAGAGAGAGGCUGCUGAAUAUGAUGUUUAAAUGCAUUUUACCAUGUUUUUAUUUUUGUAUUGCAAUUUUGGUCCACUGGAAACAUUAUGGUAUUUUGUUGUUUUUUGCAGUUGGAUUCUGGUGCUUGCAAUAAGAGAAAGCGGAGUGCUCUGUCUAAGGAAAAGAAAGCAAAGAAAAAGGUUUACACCUUUUUAUUUUUGUUCUUCGGUUGUUUGAAGGAUUUCUUUCAUCUAUCUAGGUCAUUAAUUCCUGAUUAAUUCUGAUGAAAUUAAUUAUUCAUUUCUCUAAAAUCAUUUUAAGAUUGAUUUAUGUGCUUCCUAAACCAAAGUGCCACCAUGUACAUUCAUUACAUUUUCUAUGUGUUUUCGAAGUGUAUAAUUAGUUUAACAUUGGAAUUUUCUUUUUCAGCAAAAAGAACGCAAAAAACGUGCAGAAAAGAACCGACAGCUUGGCGUUCGAAGGUUGAAAUUGCCCCAAAAUUUGAAACCAAAAACUGUUAAAUAUUGCCACCAUUAUCUCAAGGGAAGAUGUCAAGAGGUCGUACAAUUUUCCAUUUUUUUAGGAUUUUAUAUUUUUAUAUUGAUUUUGAAUUGCUCUGGAGUAGAUGUGUACUCAUUUUUUGCAUAGUACGAGGAAUUUCACUUAGCUGUUUUCUAAUCAUUAUCAAAUGAUCUAGUCUCUUUUAGUUGUUUUCGCUUUGCUGUUGCUAAUUAUUACUACCAUUAUUAUUAUUACUAUUUUUUGGUUUUACAGGGUGACAAGUGUAAAUUUUCACAUGAUACCGUACCUUUGACAAAGUCCACGAAGGUAAUUCAACUUCUUGAUUACAAAUUUUAAUCUUUUGCUAGUAAUGCAAUCUAAUCUGAUACAUUGUUGUAGCUAUACUUUUGUAACUACUGGAGGCUGAAUAUCUUGAUUUUAUUACAAUUAACCAACCUGUAGUUUGUUGCCAUGGCUAAAAAACGUUGGCUUAACUUCUAUGCUCACAUUUUAUUCAAUAUGUAUUCUGUAAACUGAAUUUGUAUUAUGAGGAAUGUUUAGUAGCAUAUAAUUAAAAGAUCUUAGUUCUGAUUCCCGGUACUGCAUUAACUUACCCAGACGACCAUCGGACUAUAAAGUUAAAAGAAGAAAGAAAGAAAAUUAAUCAUAUAAUUCUCUUUAAUUAGAAUUUAUUUAUUUUCCAUGGAAAAGUUGCUGGUUCUGUAAAGCUCAAUUCUCAGUUUCUCUUGCAUUUUAAUGAUGCAGGCAUGCUGUCAUUUUGCACGAAAUUCAUGCAUGAAAGGAGAUAACUGUCCAUUUGAUCAUGACCUCUCUAAAUAUCCCUGUGAGAAUUUUGUGGCCAAAGGCUUUUGCAACAGAGGUGAUAAUUGUUUGUUUUCACACAAGGUACCUUCUUCUUGCUAUUGCAAGAUGCUUCUUCAUUUGUGCCACUAUCAUUGCUUUAAUUUUCUGUGUAGUAUAAUUUCUUAAGCUGUUCAGUUUAAGGCUUGUUUGGAUUAAGUGAGUUGAGUACGUAAUUUUUCUUUGCUUCAGCUACCACCCAAGGAACAGGACCCGCCUACUCCAAGUACUUGCACACCUGAACUGAAGCCUUCACCUCCGUUGUAUGCUUCAAAUUUGUUGAAGCCACUAAACAAUAACAAAGUCUCCCAUCAGAAUGUUGAUGCACUAUCCAACCAUGGGAAAGUUUCUUCUUUCAAAAAUAUAGAACAAAGUGUGGCAAAGAGUAUACUGAAGCCACCUGCACUUGCACCUAAAGGUAUUAGUUAUCUCUUUCUGGGGAAGUCAUCAUUUCUUGAAGCCAGCAAUCUUGGCCAAGGCAUCUCAUCUCCAAAGAAGAGCGACAGUAGCAAAUUCGCAAAUCAGACUGCACAAAUUGCAUCUGAUUCUGUGCAAAGUAGGGAUGAAACUCCAAGGAGAAUUCCAGUGGCAACAAAGGGUGUAAAUUUUCUUUCUUUUGGCAAUCGUUCAUUGGAGGAUUCCAGUGGUAAGAAAUUAGCUAACUUGUUUUUGAAUCGGGAAAAUGGUGCCAAAACAUCACUAUCAAACAAUUUUGGGUUGCAUGAAACAUCUAGCUCCUCUUCCUGUGGAGAGAAUGAUGCCGAAGUUGGAAAUGCAACGACCCAAAUAUUCUCAAAUAGUGUUCAAAAGUCAAAUGAUAUGCCGAAGAAAACCCAACCUGCAAUUACACCUCGGGGAUUGAACUUUCUUUCUACUGGAAAAGCCUUGGCCAAUAACACUAUUAGUAAUAAUCAAGCUAGAUUACGUUCCAGUGCUGGUGAUGUUAUCAAUAGAUCUCUUGAAGAGAGUCCAAAUACUCCCAAUAUGUCGCAAAAUUCAAGUGCAAAUCCAUGGAGUCUGCCAGGUUCUUCAUUUACUUUAGGUCACUCUUUAGAUCACUCAGCACAAGGGUACUAUAGAAGUACAUCAAACUCAGCUCAGAGGGCACUAGAAUUUGCAACAAAGAUUGAACCCAAAGUGAAGACUAAUCAGUCUACGGUUGGAACUGCAGUCAAAUAAUGCAGCAAGGGGUAUUAGAUAGUGGUGGCAGUACCGUAUGUUCAUAUAAUGACUCAGCGAAAGCCUCAAAAACUCUGGACUUCUUGCCUGGUGUUAGUAAUAGAACAAAGCAGUAGACACUCGAUAGCCAGCGGUUUAGUUGAGAGUUUGGCUUUGAUAUACAUGUGGCUGAUUCUUUUGGAGUCUCGGCAUCUGUAUAUCUUUCAUUGGAAAAUGUUAAGAAAAUAAGCAGGUGAGUUUUUACUUCUAUCUAUGUGAUUAUCGCUCUCAAUGCUUCACAUUAGCUAUCUGCUAUUGAUUUAGAGAACCGAAGCUAAUGGAAGUAGUUUAUGGUAUGGAUGGAGUUUCAUAACUGCAGUUUGCAAGUCAAUGAAGAUGAAGCAAAAUUUCUCCGGAAUGGUUCAUGUAUCCAAAAUUGAGGUUGGCACUUGACAGCAGGCUUUGGUAGGCUGUGGAUCUGUUGUCCGUUUAGCAGCUGUAUUAUGGGCGCUUAUGACUGGAGACUAUUCAGUUUUGAUUAACUUAAGGUUGGCCAACUAUUCCUAGUACUGAUAGUUGAUUUUUGCUCGGUGACAAUUGAUAAUAGUGUAUAUUGCUGUUACCAUCUUAAGUAGGCUUGGUAAAAUUUGAUAUGACCCACUCAUACGGUACGAAUCAAUACAACAAAAACAGUUGUCGGGUCAACCUUUAUUGGGUUGGGUCAUUAAUGAGUCAACUCAUUAAAACUUGUCCCAUAAGGGGCAGGACUUAGAUUUAAAUCCAUUUCACUCAGUCGAAUAACACUUAAAAUUAAUAGUUUAAUAACUGAAAUUAUAAACUUUGAAAGAAGUGAAUUGAUUUUUUUUAAUAUUAUAUGCAAAAAAUAAAUUGAAUGUAAAUUGACUAAUUAUAUAAAAUUAUCAAAAGCCCUAAAAUCCCUAGGUAUUUGUUGUAAAACUUGGAGUUUUUUUUUUUUUAUUCUGUUAUACACAGAUUGUUACUGAUAUUACAUCAGACAUUACAAUUAAUAUUUAUAAUCAUAUUAUACAACUGUGACCAUUGUUAUAUAUUGACACACUGAAGCACUUGCUCAGAUACUUUAAAUUUUCUCUAAUAUUCGAGGGGUGCCUACUCCAUCACAUUUCAUUAAGGAGAGACUGUCUCCACUCAAUUAGUUGAUAAUUGAGAGAGUACUGAAACUAACCUCCAUAAAGUUCUUAUGGAGACUCGAACCCUUGCACUUAACAUUGUAAGUGCAAGGUUUCUCUAUUGGUGUAAAACUUGGAGUUGUUAUUGACUCAUUAAAUGACUUUUCAGGUAAUGCAAAUUUCUUUCUAUGUUUUUUUUCCCCCUCUUAAGACUUUAAUAACUAAUAUUGGUGUCUAGCACUAAAUUAUUGAUAAUUUGCUGAUUAUAUUAUUAGAUCAUAUUAAACAUGAAGAAUAUUAAGAUUUUGUUUCAUUUUGUAUUAUAUACAUUUUUAGCAAGCCUAUUUUGUAAAUUGUUGUGUUUUAAAUUAAAAAUAGAUAAUUAUUUUAAAUUUACCCAAACAAGCAGGUUAAAUGGAUCGGUUUGGGUGGCAUUCUCAUGAUAACAAAUAGGUUCAAGUUUAUAUUUUUUUACCUAAAUAAGCUAAUGAAUGGGUUUGGGUAUGUAUAAUUUAAAACGACGUGAUAAGAGCACAUACACCAAACCGCACAAACGUGACCCAUUGUUAUGCCUAAUUGUUAAGAUUGAACUCUUGCAAGUCUUUUUAAUUAUAUUCUUACUUUAUGCAAUAAUCUUCCUAGUACCAUUAUUUCCUUGCUCAAAAUGUACCUCCUCCAUAUCCGAGUCAUCAUGCUGAACAUAAUAUUCUUCCUGCUGAUCUUUGUAAAGGAAUCAUGCAGAAUACUGUCAAUCUCUAGAAAAGCAAACCUAUUAAUCACAGUUAUAUUUUCAUUUUGUCAAGUCAAUUUCUUAGAAGCAUGUGUAAUAUUUUUUUCCUUCUGGAGAUUCAAUGGCAGGUUUUGAUAUAAUGUUUUUAAGUUCAAUGAACAAGUUAUUAGCGAUCAAUGAACAAGUUAUAUUUGAAUUGUAAGUAUGAUUACACUUGUGCAAUGACCUGUAUAAUUCCAUGAUUACUUAAAAUGUCAUAUUACAUGGUGAAUUUUUGUGAGAUUAAAUCUUUAAGUAAUCUUUUAUUUAGGAUUUUGUUUUUCAUGGAAAUGGUCACCUCUCUCUUUGUAAAUUGUGAGAAUGUGAAGGUUUGUUGCAUCCUGUAUAUUGGAACAACAAAGGUGACCAAAACAUUUUUCUUGUUGGAGAGCUUCUAACAACAAAUAUCUAAGCAUUAACUUUUCAUGGUUGCUUCCUGCGUGCUAAUAGUUUGUAGUGGUCUUGGAUCUGAUGAAGACUAUAGAAAAAAUUUCCCUGUGAAUGUUGUCCCCAAUAUAGGAUCAGAAAAUUAAAUCUUAUUUGUACCAUUUAUGUAGUACCAUCAUAUUUAGGCUUUUUCCAUGUUUGCUCUCCAUGUCAGCUGGUAUUUAUUAUAUAGUUACAUGAUAUAUUUUGUACGGGAAAGGUGGAGCCUAAUGCUCAUUAAACUUCGUCAAUAGCAUCGGAGAGUAAUGUUGCUCCAAGAACGUCAUUAAUGGUAACACCUCCUCUUAAACAUCCGCUGACCUCCAGUUGUUUUCAAGUCAUUUGGGGUGUAGACAAUGUAAUAUGUUGGUGUGGCUGACUGGGUGCGGUGCCUAGAAAAAGUCAGGGAAAUUUACGAAAAUAACCAUAAAAUUUUUGUUAUUUUCACAAUUAACCUUCUCAAUUUUUUUCUAUCAACAUUAGCCAAACACACGUUUUUCUCCCUAAAUUAUCCUUCUUUACAAACGAAAAGAAGCUUGGCGCGACAGGCACCUGUCGCACCAUGCUUUGGUGCGACAAGCACCUGUCGCACCAAGCUUCGUGCGACAGGUUGCCUUCUUCUAUCUCAGUAUUUGUUUGUUUUUGCCAGUUCUUUCGUCUUUGUUCGUCUCUUCUUAUUUGUAUGUAAUAUCUUCUUCUACCUCAGAUUGAAUCUCAUCCGACAACCCAAACAACAAAACAAAAUCAGCUUUUUAAUUCUCCAAAAUCCAAUUUCGGAAUUCAAAUUCCCCGGGAUUUUUCAUUAAAAGCCAUGUUGCGAAAUGCUAGGCGAGCUGUACGGAGACCUACCUCCACCCUCCGAUGAGGACAAACCCACCAACACGACCACCACUGUCUGGUCAAUUUUUGCGCCACCACAAACCAUCCUCAAGCCCCAAUCCAAACCCAAAACCACCCAAAAUUCUCUCCCGACUAGACUCCAUUCCUCACCUGUAAUCACACCUUCUCCCGACGACGUGGUAGCGCUACCGCAACCGGCAUUGGUCGACGCCACUUCGACCGUAAUUAAGGAGCACGACCCCGCUAGACCGAACUACGAUGAUUAUAGGAGAGAGAAGAAGAAGAAAGAGGUGGAUGCUGAAAUUAGUAGAGAACUGGAGAGAAGAAUGCAAGAGGAAGAGGAAAGGGAGAUGAGAGAGAUGGGUAAUUUGGUCUCAACGGUUCUUUUAUGGCUAAUGUUGAUAGAAAUUUGUUUGAGGGGUUAAGAUGAAAAAAACUAAAAUUUUUAUGGUUAUUAGUAUAAAUUUCCCAAAAGGCCAGCAUGCGCCCACCAUUUUUGAGGGCCUAUAAUAAUUUGGCUGGUCUAAUGUUAGUGGGACUCAAAAAUUAAAUGAUACGUCAUAUUAUUUAAAAUAAAAAAAUUUAUAAGUUGACCCAUCAUUUCUGCCAAAUAGAAAGUUAAUGGUUGUAGCACCUCAACAAUUUGGGUAGGUGCUUCUACUCCACUCAAGCUUCUUUCUUCUCUCUCUCUCUGUGUAUGUUACUGUAGGGCUAAUCUUGUUCAUCAUAAUUGCUUUGGAGUCAUCACGAAAAGACUAGGAUUGUUAUUCAAAGAAGAAAGCUAAAGUAAAAGCGCACAUGGUCUUCUUUUCUUUUUUGUUUUUUCAUAUUCAAAUUUGUUUGAAUUGUAGACUUUUGAGUUCAGAAUGAGCUGAAUAUUCUUUCGCUGUUUUGCAUUUUCAAAUUUAAUGAUGUUAUUGCCGUCGCUUUUUGAAUAUUUUCCCUUUUGUUUUGUUUACUUUUACUUGUCAUUUAGAGAUGAGUUGCGUUGAUAUUUUCGAAUUGUUAAUAAACUUUUGUAUCCAAUUGAUAUGAGAUUUGGGCCGUACACUGAAUUUUCAGGACAAUUAGAACUCGUUCACUCAAAAUAGAAGAACAAUUAGAAGCUUGGCCUUGCCAAUGAGGGCACGCGGUGAGCUUAGGAAACGCACGUUACACCCUUAAUGUAACGUGUGACUUCAUAAAAAUGGAAUUGUAUUCAUACCCUUUGGUUUUUCCUUCUAUAGUUCUCUUUUAGUUACAAUGUGUCUCAAUAUUAAUAAAUCUACACCCGCACGAUCGUGGAUGAUAAAAGCUCAUAUGAAUGGAUUUUCUCAUGGCAAACAAAAAAUAAAUAAAUAAAUAAAGAAGAAUAAUCUCUCUUAUGGGUAGGGUAGAAACAUUUAGAUUUCUUUCAAGUACGGAGUGGAGGGAGGCACAAAUUUUAGUUAUUGUCAUUAGACUUUAAAUUUGUAUAAGUUCAUGAGUAUUAGGAAACACCACAUUAUAAUAUUCAUAGAUAAUAAUUAAUUAAAAAUAAAAAAUUAGGUGAAAUUAAUAGAAAAUUAGAAAGAGUAGGGCUAUUUGAACUUACCAAAGUCCUCUCUACUCUCAUCUAAAAGAGCAUAUUAAUUAUUGUAAAUUAAGUCUUCAAAAUUUCAAAAUUAAACCGAGAGUGAAGGUGGCAUUUGUUUUUUAUUUGAAAUCUAAAUAUAUCUGAAUUGGUCUGUAAUUUGGAUAGACCUGAAAGAUAAAUUUCCCAAAAGGCCAGCAUGCGCCCACCAUUUUUGAGGGCCUAUAAUAAUUUGGCUGGUCUAAUGUUAGUGGGACUCAAAAAUUAAAUGAUACGUCAUAUUAUUUAAAAUAAAAAAAUUUAUAAGUUGACCCAUCAUUUCUGCCAAAUAGAAAGUUAAUGGUUGUAGCACCUCAACAAUUUGGGUAGGUGCUUCUACUCCACUCAAGCUUCUUUCUUCUCUCUCUCUCUGUGUAUGUUACUGUAGGGCUAAUCUUGUUCAUCAUAAUUGCUUUGGAGUCAUCACGAAAAGACUAGGAUUGUUAUUCAAAGAAGAAAGCUAAAGUAAAAGCGCACAUGGUCUUCUUUUCUUUUUUGUUUUUUCAUAUUCAAAUUUGUUUGAAUUGUAGACUUUUGAGUUCAGAAUGAGCUGAAUAUUCUUUCGCUGUUUUGCAUUUUCAAAUUUAAUGAUGUUAUUGCCGUCGCUUUUUGAAUAUUUUCCCUUUUGUUUUGUUUACUUUUACUUGUCAUUUAGAGAUGAGUUGCGUUGAUAUUUUCGAAUUGUUAAUAAACUUUUGUAUCCAAUUGAUAUGAGAUUUGGGCCGUACACUGAAUUUUCAGGACAAUUAGAACUCGUUCACUCAAAAUAGAAGAACAAUUAGAAGCUUGGCCUUGCCAAUGAGGGCACGCGGUGAGCUUAGGAAACGCACGUUACACCCUUAAUGUAACGUGUGACUUCAUAAAAAUGGAAUUGUAUUCAUACCCUUUGGUUUUUCCUUCUAUAGUUCUCUUUUAGUUACAAUGUGUCUCAAUAUUAAUAAAUCUACACCCGCACGAUCGUGGAUGAUAAAAGCUCAUAUGAAUGGAUUUUCUCAUGGCAAACAAAAAAUAAAUAAAUAAAUAAAGAAGAAUAAUCUCUCUUAUGGGUAGGGUAGAAACAUUUAGAUUUCUUUCAAGUACGGAGUGGAGGGAGGCACAAAUUUUAGUUAUUGUCAUUAGACUUUAAAUUUGUAUAAGUUCAUGAGUAUUAGGAAACACCACAUUAUAAUAUUCAUAGAUAAUAAUUAAUUAAAAAUAAAAAAUUAGGUGAAAUUAAUAGAAAAUUAGAAAGAGUAGGGCUAUUUGAACUUACCAAAGUCCUCUCUACUCUCAUCUAAAAGAGCAUAUUAAUUAUUGUAAAUUAAGUCUUCAAAAUUUCAAAAUUAAACCGAGAGUGAAGGUGGCAUUUGUUUUUUAUUUGAAAUCUAAAUAUAUCUGAAUUGGUCUGUAAUUUGGAUAGACCUGAAAGUGUAAUCUGAAUAAUAUGUUUAUUUUUUAUCUGAAUCUCUAAAAAUAAGUAUUAAAUUAUUUUUUUCAGCUUUAAAAAGUAAAAACAUGUACUUUUACAUUUGUAUCUUAAUUAAAUUUGAAAAUCAAAUAAUAUAUAUAUUUAUAAUAUUUUAUCAUAUAUAAGCAAAAUCAUGUUCAAGUGACUAUAUAAUGAUUUUGAAAUUAUAAAAUUAUCAUUGCACCACCUCUGUUUUCCCUUAUGUUCAUCCAACCACCAUAAAAUUCUAACAUGUUCUCUACAUCACCUUUUUUUUUUAAGUUGUAUCAAUUAUCCACUUUUGCACUAACAUCAUUAAAUAAUUUAAACAAAAUUAUAAUUUUACCCCUAAAUAAAUUAAAAGACCAUUUUAUCUUAUAAAAACUUUAAAAAAUUAAAAAAAAUUAUAAUUAUAAAAAUACUCUUAAAUUUAAUAAAAAAAUAAACUGCUGUACCGUACAUCCGCCUUGGCCGUACAGACCUCUAUUUGGGAUUUAUUUUUUUAUUAAAAUUAAGGGCAUUUUUAUAAGAUAAAAUGAUCUUUUAUUUUUCAAAGUUUUUAUGAGAUAAAAUGGUAUUUUAAUUUAUUUAGGGGUAAAAUUAUCAUUUCGUUUAAAUUAUUUAACGAUGUUAGUAUAAAAAUGGCUAAUUGAUACAAAUUUAAAAAGAAAGGUGGCGCAGAGAACAUGUUAGAACUUUGUGGUGGUUGAAUGAAUAUAAGGCAAAAUAGAGGUGGUGUAAUGAUAAUUUUCCUUGAAAUUAUAAUAUAUAAAAUACCAUAAGUUUCAAAAUUUAUCACAAAUUCUCUACUAUAGUACAUAACAUAAGAGAAAAACUAAUAAUAUGCUUGAAAUAGUUGAUUUGCCAUAUAAUCUUGAAGUUAUUGCAUGAAAUUUUAAUCUUAAAUACUUGAGAGUUGCUAGCAUUAUUUGUUUGAUUUUGAUUGCCAUGACAUUUUCUAGCUCAAAUUUAUCAUUUUCAUAUUGAGCAAAUAAUGCAUCAUCCAUUGAUAUUUCUCAAACAAAAUUAUGUAUUGCCAUGCAUGCCACCACUAUUCUUCUCUGUGUAUCAAAUGAGUAUGGUACCAUCCUUUAGCACACCAAAAGCACAUUCAGUAACAUUUCUCAAUUUAGCAUGGGCACAAUUGAAUAUUUCUUCCCUUCCUCUAACUGGACCACCAUUGCAAAAGUCACCCAACCAAUAACGGACAUGAUGCUAUGGUGCCAUAAAACCUCUAGUAUAUGAAUAUGCUGCAUCUACUAAAUAAUAUUUAUUUAGAAAAAAAAAUGUUGAACAUGAUUGACUAAGAAAAUAUAAUAACAUAAAUAAUAAUGAUCAAACUGAUAAAACAAUGAAUAUUGACAUACCAAGUGGUGGAAUAGGAAAAUUGUUUCUUGAAUUACCAAUGGUUUCAGUUAAAAACCUUAAAUCAUGUACAAUUCUUUUCCAUUCAACAACAACCUACAUAAAUGUGGAGAACUAGAUUCUGUUUUUUGGGGGCUUAAUAGUAAACAAUUAAGACUUUUGUGGUCUUUAUGCAGAUUGACUUCAGUUUGUGGGUCAAUAUGUAAUUACAUUGCUGACAUGGCUAAAAUCGUUAUGUUUGUUAAGCUAAUUCUGGAAAAUUUCCAGAAUCAGCAAUAAAAGAAGAGCUGUUACAUAGCUUCUGGUGUGUGGGCGUUUCUUGUUCAUUUUUCAUCCAAAUUCAUUAAUUCUGGUUUCUCUGUAAAGCUUGUAAAUUCCUUUACAAGGUCCGAUCAAUUUGUAAUUAAUUUGAGCAAUAAAAGAGUGCAAAUGUUUUCUUUUCAAAUUGUGUUGCUUGGCAACUGUGUACUUUGAUCUGUUUUUUGAUCUUGUUAAUUGAUUCUUUGUUUUGCUUCGAUCUUAAAGGUUCUUUUGGUUAUUCUUGUCACCAAAAUACAACAGUUAAUAUCACGUCAAAAUCACAAAGUGCCAUUACAUUUUGAAAGCAUUCUCCUCUUCCGCAACCUCUAUAUGGUACCUGUUCAUCAGUUGGAAUGCAUGCAUUCUAUCAAUUGCGCCAAUAAUAUCCUGCAUAUUAAUAAUUAAAUUAUCUCAAAAACCAAAAUAAGAAGUGUUAUCCUUCAGAGCAUUAGUUUACACAAAGUUUUAUAUCUCAAAAGUUUGCCUUAAUUAAGUAAUAUGAAUGCCUUUGGAAUUAUCAGUAAAUGAUGAAGGAGUGAUCAUUUCUUUCGAAAACUUCAUCAUUGCCACUAGUCCUUAAUGAAAAUAUCUAUGCACUGUAUGACUUGAGUGCUGGAAUCUAAUUCUAAUGAACCAAUUUUUAGAAUAAGAAAUCCUUUGGUGAAAACCAUCACCUAUAAUUCAAGAACAUUCAUGUUGUAUCACCAAGAAUCAAUAACAAAAUUAUGCAAAAGUGUACCUGAAUUCAUAAUACUUAAUUGCUCUCUAGAGUUGUGUGGUUGAUAUUUCAGAUCAACACGUUCUCAUAAAGAAUCCUUUAAUUUUCUCUGUGCUCUCUCUCUGAUGAUAGAAUGUCAGAAAAAAUAAAAAGAUACAUGUGACUUGGGGAUCAUGACCACUUAUAUAGAUAACUUCUUUUAUUGUCUUUAGAUAAUUAUAUUUAAACUCAUCAUAGAAAUAGAAAUUACCUCUUUAAGUCUUUACAUAUUAAAGACUCAUACCCUAUUAGAUACAUUAAAGCUCAUAUUACUCAAAACCUUAAUAGAUCACUUUUAAUUGGGCUUUACCCUAUAUGACAUUCCGCAACACAUAAUUAUUUAUAUAUAAGUCCAAUGUUAGAUUAAGGAUCCAACAAUACUAGAUUAAAAAAUCCAACACCGAUGUCGAAGAUUUUGGCUGAUUGUAAAUAAGAACAUAGCCAUUUUCUUUUCAACAAUUGAAUGUUUACCAUUAAGAAGCCAUCAUUUUUCUUUGAACAAGUGACACAUAGAUAUAUCCAUCCGCACAAGAUCAUAGCAUAUUGUUGGCAAUCCAUUUAAAGUUAUUGAAUGUAAAGAGAUCCUGCACAAUAUGAUGUAAAUCCUGCUAGAGAUUAUGUAAAUUAAGAGAUCCUUUUUCUUUGAACAAUUGACAUAGAGGUAAAUCCCUUUAGCCGACACUUUCGAUAAAAUUUUCACUAUUAUGAUCAAUCGUUUCCGUAAUAUUCUUUUAACCUCAUUCCUUAUGCCAACUCAUCACUCAUAGACAUAUCUAUCAAUAUACAAAAAUAAAUAAACAAAUAUGUAUUACACAUGUAACACCUAAAGAAGAGCAUUUAUUAUCAAUUGAAUAUUGGACAUACCUACUAUUAAAAUCCAAAGUAUCGCUUAGGCACAAUCUAUUUGUGAGGGGAUAUAACAACCUGACCAUAUAAAUAAAUUUAUAAGAAAUUGCAACUUCAAAAAUAAAGUAAACAUAAACCACAUAAAGCACACUUUGGCAGCAAGAUAAUCGUCAAAUAUUCAAAUAACCAAAACACACAAUUCUUUACACAAACCAAAGUUCAACAAUGACCCCACUCAAAACGUUGACUCAUUACAUGAACUAAAAGCUAUAAAAUCCGAAAGUUCCAUAAUGACAACAAACAAAACAUUGACAAAUAAACUAGGAAAAAGAUAUUAAGGCCCUCUUGAUAAACAAAAAUUCCAUCCAAUGCAUUCUUCGUCACACUCCAUGUCCAUCUAUAGUUCUCGAUAUUCUCUUAUUGCAAAGUGAUUUAAUAUGUAAUAGGGUAAAUACUCAUUUAAUCCUUAUAUUUUAAUUUAAGUAUUUAUUUAAUCAAUAUAUUUAAAAAAUACUUCAUGACACCCAUGUUGUUAUACUUUUAACCUUACUUUUUCUUUCUUUUUACAAUAAUCUCUUGGCGACAAUAUUCUUGGGGAUAUUAAUUAAAAAAAUGAUAGUUUAUCAAAUUAAUUUUAAAAGCAGCAUAAAAAUUUACACAAAAUUUAAUACUAUUAUUUUACUUUUAGGAUUAAUUUUACAAAUUAUUUUUUUUAUAAAAGUAAUUAUUACUAAAACUGUUGCAAGAAUAUUAAAAAUUACUUAAAGUUAGUUGAUAUUAAUUUAUGUAAAAUUAAUUAUUACUAAUAUUGUUGUAUAUGUGCAAAAUAUACUAGUUCUUUCAUAUUGAUAUUUAUUGGUUAACUUACUAAUAAAUAAUUAAGGGUUAAAUUGCUAAUUGAAUUUUUCAUAGAUAAAUUAAUUAACAUCAGGAAUAUUGUUGUAAGGAUAUUAUAUUAAAAGCAAAGAAUAAGUAAGAGUAAGAAUAUAACAUAUUUAACUAUACGUGUGUUUUGAGAUUUUUUUUAGAUAGGGAUUAAAUGGAUAAUUGAAUCAACUUAUAGGGAAUAAAAGAACAUUUACCCCCACAUAAUACAUGGGAUUGUCAUGAGUUAGUGGCUUUCACGAAAUUGGCAUGCACUGAGUAAUUAAAGUCCUUUAUCAUUCGCCUUCUCCAAUACACCCACCAAUUUGUUGAUAUAUUUGCCAGUUUCAUCCAAUUUGCUUUUCUUUUGUUUCUUUUUACACCUUUAUAUGUCACCGGGAAGUGGUUCAUCCACGUUGGUGUAUGAAUUAGGUGUUUUUACCUCACAAUCAUCAUCAUCUAAACCGAUUGGAGUUUUAGAUAAUAUUGAAAAUAUAUCUUUCUAGUUUCCCUUCCAUUCCAGAACUCCAGUUAUAAGCUCCAGCUACUACUGCAUCUGAGAACAAUGCCUCUAACUCUUCAGCAUUUCUUAAAGGUUUAUUGCAAAAUUGCUUAGUUUUUAGACAUUCCGUUCAAUCAAAAUAUAGUAAUUGAUUAUACUUACAUUGUAAAAGUUCUAAAAAGAAAAAAAAAAAGAUGUUAUCUUCGUGUAUUCUUCCCAUCUUUCAAGUGGCCAAUCAAAAAACGAGUAGUAGAAUUGUAACCAUGUCUUGUUGCCAUUGCUAAUUUUCAGCCAUGUGAUGUAUUGUCUUUUCAUAUAAUCCCAUCCAUUUUUAAGUUGUUUUGGGGUAAUAGAUUUUCUCGUCAAUGUUUUAUAUUCCUGAGAAUUCGUAUUCCAAGCAAUAGGCGUCAAGGUUGCCUCAGAUCUAUUUUCGUUGUUUGCUUCACGCGGUGUAGAGACCAAUAAAAUAUUUCCAAUAAGUAGGAUCAGCCCAAUUCGCUCUUUCCCCUUAUGAUGACAUCUAUUAGAAAAUUCUACCAAACACAAUCAAUAGAACCAAAUUGUGGACUAUUGAUAAAACAUUACUGAGUACUUCCUAACCAUAAAGGUCUAACCCUAAUAUCACACCUUAAAGCAUGAAAACAAAUUAAGAAAAAAAGUAGAAUAAAAAAAUGAUUAUAUAACUACAUAAAAAAGCUUAAGAAUAAUAUUUUUGAUUACCAACAAGAACUUGAUGAGAGAAGCAAAGUUAGGAGGAAUUCUGUGAUUACUAAAAAAAAUUAAAGAUUGAGAUUAUUAGUGGGUAAACGUGUAUGAGUAGGUUUUGGGAUAGACAUGAAAAAUAAAUAAUAAAGUAUGGAUAUUUUUUACAUUAGAAAUUAAUUGGCUAAUUCAAAAUUUUCUAUUUAGUACAAGCCUAAAAAAAAUUGAUUUAUUUAAUUAAGUCAAAAUUAUCUGAAAAGUCUCGUUAAGUUAUAAAAUCAUUAAGUUAUAAAAACAAACACCUCUAAGUUAAAAACAAACACCCUUUAACUGUAUUAGUUUCAUUCUUAGCAAAAAUUGAUUGACAUUCAUCCUUUAACGGUAGGUUUUGUCUCUCCCAAUUUGUAACAGCUUUUGUUAAAUCAAUUUUGAAAAGUUGAGAAAGAAAAAGUUGAAGUAACUAAAGUAUGAGAAAUUGAGGAAUAGGGAGAGAAAAUGUCUGGAUCAGGGUUCAGAUCCGAAUUCUUUUGUCUUGUUAAAAAAAAUUGAGAAUAAAUCAAGAUUUUUAAAAAUAGGGCAAAUCAAUUCACGAAGAAUAAUAUGAAAUUAACCCUAAAAAAUUGAUGGGUUCAGCCCACCCAAAAAAACAAUAUCUGGAUCCUCUCCUAGGCAUUUUCUUCCUAGUCCUCUUAAACUUUUAAGAACCCAUUAACAUGUGUCAUUAAUAAAAUUAAAUGGUUAAGAUUUUAUUUUAAUUACUUUUAUUUAAAUAGACAUCCUAACUCAAAUGUGAUUAUUGACUAUUGUCAAAUUAUUUCCCUCUCAUCUCUUUCUACUUUGACAUUGACCUUGACCAAAAUGUAAAAAAAAAAAAGCACAAAUUACAAAAAGCAAUCAAUAAUGAGGUUUGCGUCCUAAUUUCAAUUUUUCAUUUGGUUAUUUUUUCUGAAUAGAGUGGACAGAAUCAUUAAUACUUUAUUAUUAAUUCUUUCAUUCAAAACUUGGCAUUGUAAAUGAUUUCACACCAACGAAUAGGACUCCAUUGAUUUGCAUCUCAUUCUUACUAAGAGCCUUUUGAGCAUCAGAACAAUUUUGAUAAAGAAUAUGCAUCUAGUUACAUCUCUAGGAUCAGGAACAUGUUUCAAGAUCACACCACACUUGUCAAAUUCUCGUAAAACCACAUUGAUAUUCUAGAGGAAAUUCAUAAACUGUAAGCAAAUUACUACAAUCUCACAAUAACUCAUAAUUAUCCAGCACUAAAUAAAUUUUUAUUACAAAUUACUAAUAGUCAAUUAUAAAAAAUAAAUAAAUAAAUAGAUAAAUUGCUCCUGUUGACAUCCAUAUCAAUUCGCAAGCUCCACCAAUUCUUUAGCCUCCUCAAUCAACCAAUCUUUAAUUAAUCUAUCUACAAGCAGUUACAAGAAGUAUAUCUACAAGCAGUUACAAGAAGUAUAUCUCCAUUAUACCAAAUUCUCAACUGUUCUAAUACUAAAUCCCAUUUUCGGUACGUAUUUCUCGUAGAAAUUAUAUGCUAAUUGCUCAGAUUGAAAUUCCAUUUCAAAUUUAGCUUCCAAAUCAAUCAAGCAUUCUAAAGGCAUAACAAUAAGACUGAAAAUAUAAAAGAUAAAUAAAGAAGACAAAACAUCAACAACAAAAAAACAAAGGAAAAAAAUUGAAAUUAAGGUGCAAAUCUUAUUUUCAAUCUCUUUUUUCUUAAUUUGUGUUUUUUUUAACAAUUUCCUAGAGAUUGUCGUCAAAGAAGAAAGAGUUUAGAGGGAAAGAAUUUGACAAUAGUCAGUAGUCAAGUGAGUUUAGAUGUUUAUUUAGAUAAAAAUUAAUUAAAAAAUUUUAACCAUUUAAUUUCAUUAAUGACACAUGUCAAUGAAAUUAUGAUCCUUAAAAAUUUAAGAGGGUUAUGAGAGAAAAUGUAAUCGAUAAAAAAAUAUGCAAGCUAAGCUAUGUGGGUUCCACUAGAAGUAGCGGUGAAAAUGACGAGUCUUGAAGACAGCCAUGAUUUUCCAUUUCAUGGUUUGCUUUCUCGGUGCCGAUAUUCUCACAACACUUUGCACAAAACGGUGCGUUUUGUGCAAAGCAUAAAAGCCACUUUUUGCUGCAAAGUUUUAACACCAAACACACACACGUGAGAGGGGAGCAACAAAACUCACGUGCAGCAAGUCUCCUUUCUUCCUCCAUUUUUCCUCAUGAGAUUGAUCCGAUCUCUCUCUCCGUCCUCCUUUCUUCCUUACGAGAGAGCUCGGGUCUCUCUCUUCGGCCUCCUUUCUCCCUCACAAGACAGCUCAAGUCUCUCUCUCCUGUCUCCACGCCGCUAAUAGUCACAGUUCCAUCCUCUCUAGCCACGCAGCAACCAUAAGAUCUCUCUCUCACCCGUUUCAAUUCAUUGUUCUAAUUGAAAUCUUUAACUCGUUUAGGACAUUGUGCUGAAUUACCUAUGGAUGGUGGUGGUCUUAUGCUUGAGUGUUGUAAAUUAGAAUCAAAUUAUGCAAAACCUGAUGCCUUUGGGAAUCAUGUUUAUUUCAAGCUUCUAUGUUGUGAUUUGAUUAUUUGAUGAAGCACCUGGAAAAUGUAGUUUGCUCCCUCAAAUUAUUUUACUCUGUUGAAUAAAUUGUAUUUGCCAUUAUUUGAAAAGAAUUUAAAAAAAAAAUUACAGCCCCGAAACAUUGAGCUUAUGCUAUAAUUUAAGCAUCUCCCUCAUUUAUAGCACAUUUAUUUUCAUAAUUUACGCGACAAUAGAGAACGGAGCAGAGACUGUUAGUGGCGUGGGGAUGAGAGAGAAAAAUAUGAGUUGUUUCGUGAGGUUUUGUGAGGUUUCGUGAGGGAGAAAGGAGAUGGGAGAGAGAGAUGCUGAGUUUUGUUGCUCCCCUCACUUGUGUGUGUUUGGUGUUAAAACUUUGCAGCAAAGAGAGGCUUUUAUACUUUGCACAAAACGCACCGUUUUGUGCAAAGUGUUGUGAGAACAUCAUUUUCCUUGCUUUCUUCAUGAAUCCUAUCUUUCAUGGCAUACUGUUAUUGGUCCUACUCUAACAAUAAGUGAAGUUGUUAGUGUGUGAUUAUCUUGUAGUAAUUGAAAACCGGACCGGUCCAGUCUAGAAAAACUUCUCUGGAUCGGCCAUUUAAAUAAAUAAAAAAAAAACAAUUUCCCUUCUGAAUAUCUUCUAUGACUUUUCAUUUGGUUCCUCAACAUUAAUUGAACAACUCUUUCCUUUGAAUUCCACGACGUCGUUUCUGCUGAUAAGUAUUUACUCUAAUUCAUCCACUUUCUACGUAGAAUUUUUUUUUAAAUAUAUGAAAUAAAUGCUUUCUAAUCGCAAGUGUGCUUCAUAUGGUUAUUUGUGUGGCAGGGACUGAAAGUGACCAGACAGAGUAUGAGGAGGUCUUCUUUAAGCUAGCAAGGUGUGUCGGCAAGUAGACAUCUCUCUGUUGGCCAUUUCUUGUCCAAUCAGUAAAGCCUUGAUAUUAACUCGGUCUUUCUUCGAAAAUCUCUUUUCUCUGAAAAGAGAAUCACGAAUGGAAGGAAAAUGGGGUCCUAUUGGCUCAGCUUCGUCACUCCCAAUUGAGUGAGUAGGUCAGUUCCGUUUUGUGUGUAUUUUGAGCAGUCUAAAAGUGUGAGCUGCAAUAGAUAAAUUGCUUCCCCAUUAAUCGUCAGGGGUUUCAGCGAGUUAAAAAUCAUAAAGUGUGGUUGGUGAAUUAAAAAGUUAUUCGUUACUUUUGUUUGAGCUACUAUGGAGACAGAAGAACUCAUUAAGAAGUGUAGGGCCAUUUCUUUAGAAGGGGAAGAAGAUGAUAAGGUUUCUUUUGUUGGAAACAUGAAACAAAAGGGGCUGAAAUUGCUGCAGGAUGUCUAGUCGGGAAGAUCCUGACCACAAGGGGAGUGAGUAUCGAAGGGCUUAGAACGGCAAUGCACCAAGCCUGGAGAACAAUACGUGGAGUGAGAAUUGAAAACCUAGGGGAGAACGUCUUCUUGUUCAAGUUUGCAUUGGAAGCUGAUAAAAGAAGAGUGUUAAUAGGGGGGCCUUGGCACUUCAAUAGAGCUUUGUUAGUACUGAUUAAGCCAACUGGAAUAGGAAAUAUUGCGAAGCAAGCCUUUACUCAUGUUUCUUUUUGGGUUCAAAUCCUAAAUGUGCCCAUCAUGGCUAUGAAUACGGACGCUAUCUCAAGAUUGGGAGCCAUUAUUGGUACAGUCGAGGAGGUGGAGACAGGCGAAAAUGGGGAAUGCAUUGGAGAGCAUGCACGAGUCAGAAUCAGAGUGGAUAUCUCAAAGCCUUUAAAGAAAAUCAUUUUCUUGGAACCAGAGGGUGAGGAGAAAAUACCAAUGCCGAUUAGGUAUGAGAGAUUACCAGACUUUUGUUUUUGCUGUGGAACCCUUGGCCAUCAAUUUAGAGAAUGUAUCAAAUAUAAAGAUCAGAAACAAGAAGAUCUUGCAUUCGGCCCAUGGAUGAGAGCAGUUACAAUGACUGAGCAGGCUAAUUCUCAUAAAGUCAAAAAUAAGUGGAAUGGAGGCAACAAUUCAAGGGAGGAGGAAUCGGCAAACCAAGAAGGCCAUGAAAAUCAACAGCAAAACCAGAAACAUCCCAACUCAGACUCAGGAAACGGGUUAGAAACAACCCGGAUUGAAGUGGGUGGAGCUACAACACCAAUGAGUAAAAGCCACAUGGCUGAGAUGGGUGCAGAAACAUUAAUGCUAGAGGGAGCAAAAUCGAUGGAACAACAAGUUGGCUGUGAUAAUCUGACCACAAUAGCUGGCAAGAAUCAGAUGUUGGGGAAUGUGGAAAAUGAAGCGGGAGGAAAGUGGAGGGAAUUGGCGAAUACAAAGGAAAGCCAAAGUUUGGGGUUAAUGGGCUUAAAAAAUAAAGCCCAAACAAUUUCAAUCGAGGGAGAAGUAACAGCCAAGAAAAAGCCCAAAUAAAAAAAUGGAAGCAUCUGGCCAGGGACAUGUGUUCUAAGGAUGAAAACAAAAUGAGUUUACUUGUAAAGAAACGGCCUAGAGGAGAAGUGGGAAAAUGGUACCCAGAAGCAAAGAAGUUAAAGAUGAGUAGUUCGGUGGAGAGGGCAGUAGCACAGGAUGGAGUGUUUUUCUUAGCAACACUUAAUGCAAGUACAAACUCAGAAGCAUCAGAUAUGGAAGAAAUGGAGGUGAUAGGGUCCACUAUCGAAGAAAUAUCGGCGGAGGCUGAGGGUCAGCCUCGCCGGGAGUCAUGAAAAUCCUCAGCUGGAACGUCCGGGGCUUGGGGAAUUCCCGAACGUCACUCAAGAAAAAUCUCCAAACACAUAGGCCGCAAAUUGUUUUCUUAUGCGAAACAAAAAUGCUACCUAUGUAGAUGAACAAUGUUCGAGUCGAAUUAAAUUUUGAGAAUUGUUUUACCGUAAGCAUGAAUGGUUUAGGAGGGGGUCUAGCAAUGUUAUGGAGCUCUGACAUAGAUGUAAAAAUAGUCUCUUACAGUCAACACCAUAUAGAUGCUGAGAUAUGUGAAGAAGGAGGAUCGAAUUGGAGAUGUACGGGGGUUUACGGACACCCAGAAAUAACUCAGAAGAGGCACACAUGGACUUUAAUGAAACGGUUAGCAAGCUUAUCUUCCUUACCAUGGUUAUGCUUUGGUGAUUUCAAUGAAAUUUUACACUUAAGUGAGAAGAAAAGAGGUAGUGCUAGGGAUGUUAAUAUGAUUUCUGGGUUUAAAGAUGCUAUUAGAGAGUGUAGCUUAGCUGAUUUGGGUUGCACAGGAAGAUUUUUCACAUGGUAAAACCAAAGAUAUGGGCCAAACUUUAUAGAAGAGAGAAUAGACAGAUUUUUAUGCAACAAGGAGUGGGGUAAUUAUUUUCAAGAAUUGGCAGCUACAAACUUAGAGUCAUGGACGUCAUAUCAUAGCCCCAUUAUGAUGGAAGUGGUUAAGAAGGGUGUAGAGCAAAUUUGUAAAAGGCAGAGUUGGCGUAGAAUCCACUAUGAGGAUAUGUGGAGCUCUUACGAUGCUUGUAAAGAGAUAGUUAAGAAUGAGUGGACUAGCCAUGGAGGGGGGACAAAUGCAAACCCAGUGCAACUUUUCAAAAAAUCAGCCACGACAUCAAUGGCUCACCUGAGAAUCUGGAGCAAAGAAGAGUUUGGGGAGAGAAAAAAGAAGCUGGAAUUAUUAGUGAAUGAGUUGCAGCUGAUCAGACAAAGCGAGAAGCCUUAUGAGUGUGGAGCUAAGAUAAAAAAGAUUGAGAAGCAAAUUGAUAACAUUCUGAUUGAUGAGGAGAUAUACUGGAAACAGAGAUCAAGAGCGGAUUGGCUGAAAGAGGGAGACAAGAACACAAAGUUUUUCCAUUCAAAAGCCUCCUCCAGAAAAAGAAAGAAUAAGAUGAGAGGAAUUGAAACUGAUCAAGGCAACUGGAUCAAGGAUGAAAGAGAAGUAGAGAAGGAGUUUUGUGACUAUUUUGAAGGGCUUUUUAAGUCUUCGAAUCCUUCUCAUGACCAACUAAAAGCUGCCCUGGCAAGUCUAGUUCCAAACGUUUCGGAUAAAAUGAAUGAAAAGCCUCAAUAGCCCUUUACCGAAGAUGAGAUAACAACAGCCUUGGCGCAGAUGUGCCCCACCAAAGCCCCUAGACCUGAUGGACUGCCAGCGGUGUUUUUUCAAAAGCAUUGGAAAAUUGUCCGUGAAAUGGUGAUCACUGCAUGCCUCCAUGUGCUCAAUGAGAAAGGUACUCUUGCUCCACUCAAUCACACAUAUAUUGCACUCAUUCCUAAAGUUGAGAAACCAAGGAAAGUGACUGAAUAUAGACCCAUAAGUCCUUGUAAUGUAAUCUACAGGUUAGUGGCAAAAACCAUUGCAAAUAGACUUAAACACUUACUCAAUACGAUCAGAUCCCCCACUCAAAGUGCUUUUAUUCCCAAUAGACUCAUCACUGACAAUGUUAUCAUUGGGUAUGAAUGUCUUCAUAAAAUUCGUCAUAGCAAAGGAAAGAAAAAUGGUUUUCUGGCUCUAAAAUUAGACAUUAGCAAAGCCUAUGAUCGAGUGGAGUGGUCUUUUGUAAAAGCUACAAUGCUUAGGCUAGGAUUUUCCUUUGGUUGGGUUGAUCUAAUUAUGAGAUGUAUUACCACCGCAUCCUUUUCAGUCCUUAUUAAUGGGGUUGCAAAAGGGUUGAUACGACCUCAAAGAGGACUUAGGCAAGGUUGUCCGUUGUCUCCAUAUCUUUUUAUUUUGUGUGCUGAGGUGUUCUCCAGCUUACUAAUGCAGGCAGAAAACCAGAAUCUUAUACAUGGAAUGAGGUUUGGGAACACCAUCACGGUAUCCCACUUGUUGUUUGCAGAUGAUAGCUUAAUUUUCAUGAGGGCCACAAUAGAUGAUUGUAAGCACCUCAAGGCACUCUUUGACUGUUACAGCAUGGCUUCGGGACAACUUUUCAACCUAGACAAACCCUCAAUGUUUUUCAGUGGCAAGAACAAAGCUGAUCAAGUGGCUGCCAUUAAAGAAAUCUUUCAGUUGAAGGUCGUUUCCAGGCACGAAAAAUAUCUAGGGCUGCCAUCCAUGGUUGGAAGAAACAAAAGGAAUUUUUUUGAUGAUUUAAAGCUCAGAGUGAAGAGUAAGAUUUCAAAUUGGCAACACAAACACUUCUCUAGUGGUGGUAAAGAGGUCCUCAUCAAAGCAAUAGCCCAAGCUAUUCCAACUUAUGCCAUGAGCGUGUUCAAAAUUCCCUUGGGGUUGUGUGAAGAUGUGCAGAAAAUUAUUGCUAGAUUUUGGUGGGGAUCUAAGGAUGAUAAGAGAGGCAUUCAUUGGGCUAAGUGGGAGAGGAUAAGUAAAGCAAAAUGCAGAGGUGGAAUGGGAUUCAAGGAGUUCUCGUGCUUCAAUCAUGCUCUAGUAGCCAAACAAGGAUGGAGGAUUUUGCAGUUUCCAGAUUCUUUAGCAGCCCGAGUUUUGCAAGCAAGAUACUUCAAGCAAUCUGACUUCUUGCAGGCAAAACUGGGGUCAAAUCCUUCGUAUAUCUGGAAAAGUAUUUUGUGGGGGAGAACUGUAAUCCAAAAGGGACAUUAGCAAAGCCUAUGAUCGAGUGGAGUGGUCUUUUGUAAAAGCUACAAUGCUUAGGCUAGGAUUUUCCUCUGGUUGGGUUGAUCUAAUUAUGAGAUGUAUUACCACCGCAUCCUUUUCAGUCCUUAUUAAUGGGGUUGCAAAAGGGUUGAUACGACCUCAAAGAGGACUUAGGCAAGGUUGUCCGUUGUCUCCAUAUCUUUUUAUUUUGUGUGCUGAGGUGUUCUCCAGCUUACUAAUGCAGGCAGAAAACCAGAAUCUUAUACAUGGAGUGAGUUUUGGAAACACCAUCACGGUAUCCCACUUGUUGUUUGCAGAUGAUAGCUUAAUUUUCAUGAGGGCCACAAUAGAUGAUUGUAAGCACCUCAAGGCACUCUUUGACUGUUACAGCAUGGCUUCGGGACAACUUUUCAACCUAGACAAACCCUCAAUGUUUUUCAGUGGCAAGAACAAAGCUGAUCAAGUGGCUGCCAUUAAAGAAAUCUUUCAGUUGAAGGUCGUUUCCAGGCACGAAAAAUAUCUAGGGCUGCCAUCCAUGGUUGGAAGAAACAAAAGGAAUUUUUUUGAUGAUUUAAAGCUCAGAGUGAAGAGUAAGAUUUCAAAUUGGCAGCACAAACACUUCUCUAGUGGUGGUAAAGAGGUCCUCAUCAAAGCAAUAGCCCAAGCUAUUCCAACUUAUGCCAUGAGCGUGUUCAAAAUUCCCUUGGGGUUGUGUGAAGAUGUGCAGAAAAUUAUUGCUAGAUUUUGGUGGGGAUCUAAGGAUGAUAAGAGAGGCAUCCAUUAGGCUAAGUGGGAGAGGAUAAGUAAAGCAAAAUGCAGAGGUGGAAUGGGAUUCAAGGAGUUCUCGUGCUUCAAUCAUGCUCUAGUAGCCAAACAAGGAUGGAGGAUUUUGUAGUUUCCAGAUUCUUUAGCAGCCCGAGUUUUGCAAGCAAGAUACUUCAAGCAAUCUGACUUCUUGCAAGCAAAACUGGGGUCAAAUCCUUCGUAUAUCUGGAAAAGUAUUUUGUAGGGGAGAAUUGUAAUCCAAAAGGGCAACAGAUGGAGGAUUGGUUCAGGGAACAACGUGCAAGUUCACAACAGCAACUGGAUCCCAAGACCAGAAACAUUCAGACCAAUCUCCUCUCCAACCAUCCCAAAUGAGGCUGUGGUAUCUAAGUUGAUUGAUUCUAACCAAAACUGGAAUGUGAUUAAAGUGUUCCAACAUUUUAUAAAGGAAGAUGCAGAAUUAAUUACUAGCAUUCCUCUUCCGCGAAGACCAAAGCCAGAUCAGAUUAUGUGGCAUUAUGAUAAGCAAGGCAAUUAUACUGUCAAAAGUGGAUAUCGGAUUGCUCAGCAAAUAAAAUUCCAGGACUCCCCUAGUUGCUCAGUUACGGAUCCAAGUAUAUGGAAGGCUAUCUGGACUUGUUUGCUGCCUGAAAAAAUUAAAAUCUUCAUGUGGAGAGCUGUCCGGAAUUUGUUGCCAUCAGCUGAGAAUCUUUGGAGCAAAAAAGUGAUCUCAGAUCCUACUUAUCAACUGUGUAAAAAGACUAUGGAAAGCAUUUCUCAUACCUUGGUGGAUUGCAAAAUGGCCAGGAAGGUAUGGAAAAUGGUCUCUUGUGCGGAUAAGGUCUACACAUUUGCAGAGCAAAGUAUGUCGUAUGUGCUGGAAGGUAUGACAGAAAUGCUAAAUCGAACAGAUUUUGAAUUGUUGGUGGCUUGUUUUUGGUCAAUUUGGCAUGCAAGGAACCUUUUUCUUUUCGAAGGAAAGAAGGUGGACCCUCUGGUUUCCAUGGCAAAAGCUGAGGCAGUGUUGGACUCAUAUAAACGAGUCAAAAUUCCCAGCUCAUCACACUUGGAGAGCAAGAUAACUGUUAAGCAGCAGCGGUGGAAACCACCCCCACAAGGAUGGAUUAAAAUUAAUGUAAAUGCAGCCACAAAGAUUGAGAAACAAGUUGCAGGAUUGGGAAUUGUCCUAAGAGACUUUAAUGGGAGUGUGGUUGCUGCUGCAGUAAAGCCAUCUAAGUUUUAUGGAGAUAUAAUCUUUGCUGAGGCAGAGGCUAUAGAAUGGGGUCUGCAGGUUGCAAGAUCUAUUACUAUGGCUUCGAUCAUAGUGGAAAUUGAUUCUCAAGGUGUUUCGGAUCUGCUCAACAACAAGAAGAGUAAUAGAUUUGAAGUCUUCUGGGUGAUAUCGGAAAUUCAAGAGCUAGUCAAAGAUUUUUGUAAUGUUAAAGUCCAAUAUACUCCAAGACAUUGUAAUUCCAUUGCACACUCUUUAGCUCGAUUAGCUCUAGGUUGUGAGGAGUCUGUCAUAUGGGAGAACCCAUUUCCAGAAAAUAUCUGGUAUUUGUUCCAGUCUUCUAAUGAAUGAAAGUUAUGAUUCCUUUUCAAAAAAAAAAAAGAAUUUUGUAUUAGUUCUAGUGCGUUGACCUAAAUGCUAUUCUAUAUUUUAGUGCCUUAAUUCUAGAACCUUGGCUCCUGCCAGAGCAUGCGGAGAUAAUGGUAGGGAGAGUGUUUGUGUAUUUUAACCAUGAUAAAGCUAAUGUUCCCAAUGAUUUCUGCUGGUGAGACUUGUGAAGAGGGUGAAUGAGGCAACUGCUAAUAUUCCUGGGUGGGAUACAGUAACUAGAGGCUGAGAUCAGGUGGUGGAAUUUUUUGUUUGAUCGAUGAUACCAGAAUUGUCCACAAAAAGUUUGUUGAUACAAAUUACAGGUGAUAGAAAGAGGUAUAGGUGGAGAAGAGAAAUCUGCGAGUCAAAUUAGGGAUAAUUGAUUUGCUGAUGCAAGUUACAUUGAAUAAUAAUAAUAACAAUUGCAUGAAGAUCCCUUAUUAAUCUUGUGUUCUCCUAUCUUUUACAUUCAGCUGGUAUACUUAAGCCUUGCUUGUGGAAUGUUUUAACCUUUAAAUUCACUACCCCUGGAUGUUGGAUUUUCUAGAACUUCAAAAUGAUUAAUGGAGAAAGAUCCCAUUAUCGAUAUCGCUAUAAGAAAUUUUAUUUAUACUUCCAAAGAUACAUUAUAUAUUUAUGUGUAUCUCUUUAUACAUGACAUUUAAGCAUCCAUAAACUGUCAGACAGAGGAAGGGGGUUGAGUGUAAAGAUUCUGUUGACCUAGGGGUUGCCUGCUUAAUGUCACUUGUUAGUGAUCUAUUAUUUAUUUCAUAUUUUGAAGAAUUUAAAGGGCAAUCCUGCUUGUUUGUGUUGUUAUCUCCUUCUAACUUACGGUCGUACCUAAAGAGCAUAGUUUCAUAUGUGUUACCCUGAGAUGUACAGAAUUUCACAUUUGCCUCAGAUUAAGCUUAAUUUCCCACAGAAUAGAGCUGUUGUGACUGAACUUAGGUUGAUGUCAAAAGAGGUAAAUUAUUGGCAUGCCUAGAUAAUUUGACCAUUUCCUAAUUCAUAAGUCUACAUUAAUUUUGAUUUUGAGUUGACUGAUUUCUUUUCAAGGUCUGCUUACUUAACGGAGUGACCAAUGUUUUUCAACUAAAUUUAUCAUAUGAUGCAGGAAGCAGGGCAGGAUAUGAAAUGAGAAGCUCAUUGGUGGAAGUAUUGCCUGUAACAGAACCCAAAGAAAAUGAAACUAUUUCAAGGCAGCAGUUGGCAGUUGCAAGUGAAUGGAGGCCCUUGCCAAAAUUCUCAAGCGGUUGCAAUGCAAUUACGAUCAUCCUCAGCCUCAGGUAAUUUCUUCUCCUGCUUUGUUUUUAUUUGUUCUCUAAUUAGGAAGCAUAAAGUAUCUUGAAUCAUUUUCUGUAUCUGGAAUAUAUGCAAGAGUUUCUAAAAUUUUGAUAUGAGUGUAAUGAUGGUAAUUUCUGUUUUCUGUCUGUCAUCAAAUGUUAGAAAACUUUCAUUGAGACCCUUGAACCGAGUCAUUUUUGACAAGUGAAGUGCUGAAGAGUGAGGAGUAAGAAUGGUGCUAGAUUGGGGAAUAAAGCAAAAGGAGGUAAAUUAUUGGCAGCUUCUUCAGCCUUAUUUUCUUUGGACCAGUGCCUAAUUCACAAGUCUCCGUAAUUUGGCUUUUGACCAGUUGAUAGAUAAAAUUUUAAUUUCAUUGGUGCUAAUGUACCCGUGAAGCAGGCAGAGAAGGACUGUGGAAAAGAGAAGGUUUUUAGUGAAAGCUUAAACUCAGGUAAUUCUAAAAAGUACAUGUUUUUGCUGAUUUAUCUAAAUCAGGAAAUUUUAUUUCCAUCUGUUACAAUAAAACAGAAACAGAACACAAAGAAAAAUAGUCUACCUCUUGUGGCAAUCUUGCCUUCAUUCAGACUAUGAAACCAUUUCCUUUCACCAAUUUCUUCCAAAAGUUUGAACACGUUUCAUGGUUGGACAUAGUUAGCUUCUUUCUCUUUUGGUGCAUUUAGGUGCUAUCAAGUGACAGCCAUAAGUAUGAUUGCAUUAUUGGGAAAUUUUAGGUUUUGAUGGCUCCCCAUAGCAGAGCCUUGGUAUUAAGCUUGCACGGCUCAGCAGAGAUGCCUCUGCAGCUCUAAGUUCCCCCUAUAUGAUAUAAAAAUGCUAAACAUUUGAAGCGAAAAUUACAGCAUUCCAGAGCUUGUCCUUGCUCCUCAAAUAACUUAAAUCUUUCUGAACUUCUCAAGGCGCAGCGCGCCACUUAAACUUGCAUUGAAAAAAUGUGGAGAUUGAAUUGAUGGGGGUUACAGGAAAGUUUAAUGAUCUGCAAAAAGUUAAAAAAUACUUCCGUUUAGAGGUAUAAAAGAAUGACACACUUUGCUGAGUUUCAGUACCAACAUUCUAACAUUUAUUAUUCAAUUAAAAAUAAAUAAUUAAAAGAAUAUAAGGAAAGGAAAUAUAACCCUAAAGGGAUUUAAUUUGCUUAUUAGAUUACUUUAUUGUCAUAUUUAUCUCUUGUGCCCUAAAUUCCUUUGUGCAUUAAAUUUGAUUACCAUAAGGAGCAUAGUCGAUGAUGAGUGAUAGUAUUCAUAUUGCAGAUCCUUGAGAAGGAGCAGGAAAUUGGAAAAUGCUGAGGAAGAUGUAGAUUAUAAAGCCCUCGAAGAUGGAUUUGUGAGUUGAUAUAUUCGUCAAUUACAAUUUCUUCAUCAACCUCCUCUACCAACUGUCUGGUUAUUAUUUUAGUCUUCUUGCUUGACAGGUUGCUAUUACUCCUGUCUCAUUAUCUUCAACAUUGUAGUCAGAGAUUCAAACAUUAGUUUCAAACUGGAAGGCAGUUACAAUUGGUAGGGGAAGAGUAAUGUUUCCUUUCUUGCGAGCAAACAUUAAUCAAGUUGCUGUUUAGGCAGACUUAUGUAACCACUAUGAAACCGGAUACUUGGCAUUUCUUGCCAUUGAUUUCUGUAAUGUACAGGUUUUAUGCCCAUGUUAAUUUAGUGCAGGCAAGCUAUUUUUAUUCUGCUUGUCUCUUCCUAUCUUGCCCUUGAACUUGGAAACGUUGUAAGUUGGCUAGUUCGAGGAAGCCAAUCCCUUCCAAGUAAAACACAAGUAUUUAUUUGAUUAAAUGAUUCAUGCUUUUAUUAAUCAACCAUGGCUUAUUUAUGCAAGCUAAACAAAAUAGAAACAUGAACAAAAUAAUCCCAACAAAUCAGGAACUGGAGACUAAGGCUCCGUUUGGUACAUCUUAUUAAAUAGAGCUUAUAACAGUAGAGCUUAUAGCAGUAGAGCUUAUACCAAUAGAGCUUUUGAACAAAAAGUCAUUAGGUGUUUGGUUGUCAAUAAAAAAAGUACUUUUGAACCAUUAAACUGUGUGAUAUUUUUUAUAUUAUAUAUUUUUAGAAAAGCUCUCUAACCUCUACUCCCAAAAGCUCGAAAUUUGGGCUUUUGCUAGUAGAGAUAAAUUAGCUUAUUUAAGCUAAAAAAACUCUACUAAAAAAAUAACCAAACACCAUAAAAAAUUUUAAAAAGUGCUUAUACGAUUAAAUAAGCACUUAUGGCUCUUAAAUAAGCCAUAACAAACAGACACUAAGUUGAUAAUAUCUCAACUAACUUGGAUUUAUUCAACUUUACUACUACUUUAUUCAAUUGGACCGAACAUGAUCAUUAACUCAAUAAGCAUAUCAACUCUCUCCCCCUUAAAAUUCUCCUUUGUCCUCAAAGGUGAUGUCUGGAAAUUGUUCCGUGAUAAAAUUUCAAUCUUCCCAAGUUGCAUCAGCUGGAGACAUCCCUUACCAGUGGACAAGAAACUCUUGCUUCUUCUUGUGGAUUCAACAAUCAAGUAUUGCUUGCGGCAUAGGCAUAAUUUUCUCUUCGCUAAGUAUCGUUUUUGGCAAUGGGUGCUGCACCUUUAUAUGCUCUCCAAUCUUCUUCUUAAGGAGUGAAACAUGAAAAACGGGGUGAAUGCAAGAAACCAAGGCAAUUCUAGCUUGUAGGCUACUGCUCCAAUUCGUUGUAAUACUUUAUAGAAGCCAUAAUACUUGGAAGCUAAUUUAGAAUUUUUCCUCAUAGAUACUGAGAGUUGUCAAUAAGGCUACAGCUUCAGAUACACCAUAUCUCCAACAGAAAGCUCUCUCUCCUUGUGCUUCGAUUCAAACGGUGUUUUCCGAAUUGAUGAAUGAUAGCUAGUAUCGUAACAAAAUUUUGCCCAUGUCAGCCAUUUUACCCAAUUGGACAUGAACUCGAAAAGCAUCUUAAAUACAUCUCGAGCGUACGGUUAACCACUUCACUCUGCUUAUCUGUUUGAGGAUGAUAGGCGGAACUAUAGUUGAAAGAGGUACCUUGAAGCUGAAAUAGUUCCCGCUAGAAUGUAUCACACACAAUAGAAUGAGGCAUACCAUGAAACUGGAAUACUUAAUCGAAGAAAACACGGGCAAUACUCUCAGCAGUAUAAUGAUGAGGAAUGGCAAUAAAAUGUGCAUAUUUUGACAACCGGUCUACAACAACUAGUAUAGUAGAUUUACCAUGAGAAUGUGGCAGCCCCUCAAUGAAGUCCAUGGCUAUAUCCUCUCAUAUUUGAGCUGGUACUGGAAGUGGCUGUAAAGUCCCGCAGGCAUCAAUUGCUCAACCUUAUUUUGCUGACAAACAUUGCAAUUUCUGAUGAAGGAUUUGAUUCUAUUUCGCAUUCCCUUCCAAUAGAAAUUUGCACGAACUCGGUGGAAAGUCUUCAAAAAACCUUCAUGUGUGCUGUUGUGAAAUUGCUCAAUGAUGUCAAGAAUGAGAGUUGAAUCUUCUUCUAAAUACAUUUUUUCCUUAAAAAAUAAGACCCCAUCCUGCAACUUCCAUAGACCUAUGACCUCACCAUUCUUGACCCUCUGCAAUAGUUCUCGGAGAGAAAUUUUAGAUUGUAUUUCUUCUUUGACAGCUUCAACCCAAUUAGGUAGCAGUUUAGAGAUAUCAUGAUUUUCCCUUGAAACUUCCUCCUUCUUGUCUGUUCUUGAAAGUGCGUCAGCUACUAUAUUGUCCUUUCUGCGUUUGUACUCAACUAUAAAAUCAAAUCCCAUUAAUUUAUAAAGUCAUGUUUGCUGUGCUCUGGUGGUAAUCUGUUGAGAGUAGAGAUGCUUAAGGCUCCGAUGGUCAGUACGAACUAUAAACUGCCUACCAAGCAAAUAAGGCCACCAUUUUUGUACCGCCAAGACAAGUGCUAGUAUUUCUUUUUCAUAAGUGGACAACAACAAAUUGUUCCCUUAGAGUGCCAAACUAUAAAAGGCUAUGGGUCUUUCUUGCAGCAACACAGCUCCUAUUCCGGACCCGAAAGCAUCGCAUUCAAUAAUGAAUUUCUUUGUGAAAUCUGGUAGCACCAAUAUUGGUGCUUGUGUCAUACCUUUCUUUAGCCUCUCAAAUGCUUCUUCAGCUGGCAGAUCCCAUUGGAAUGAAUUUUUCUUCAACAUCCUUGUUAGUGGUCCAGCUAUCUUUUCGUAAUUUUAUAUAAACUUACGGUAAUAGCCAGUUAAUCCUAGAAAUCCACGAAGAGCUUUAAGUGUUUAAGGUUUUGGCCAACUGAACAUUGCUUCUAUCUUCUCAGAAUCAACAGUCACACCUGCAUUUGAUAUUACAUGGCCUAGGUACUUGACUUGUUCUUGGCCAAAGCUACACUUUUCCAUCUUUACAUAUAAACAGUGAGGUCGUAAAAUAGAAAAUACAAUCUUUAAAUGCUCAACAUGAUCAACCUAUGAAUUGCUGUAUAAUAAGAUAUCAUCAAAGAAAACUAAAAUAAAUUUUCUUGAGUGAGCUUUAAAUACCUCAUUCAUGAGGGACUGAAAUGUUGAUGGAGCAUUUGUGAGACUGAACGGCAUUACCAAGAACUUGUAGUGGCCCUCGUGAGUUUUAAAUGCGGUCUUUUCGACGUCAUCAGGAUGAACUCUGAUUUGAUGAUAUCUGGAUCGAAGAUCUAGAUUUGAGAAAACUUUUGCACUAUGAUUCAUCCAGAGUUCUUCAAUAACUGGAAUCAGAAAUUUAUCUUUGAUAGUAACUCGAUUCAAGGCCCUAUAAUCAACACAAAAACGCCAAGACCCAUCUUGUUUCUUCACUAAGAUAACCUGUGAAGAGUAAUGAUAGGUCCCAAUCACAGCAGCAGAAAAUAUAAUAAAUACUCACUUUCUUUGGGUGAAAGAUAAACCACACAAUUAUUUGCAGGAUAAUUCUCGUACCUUUAUUCAUUGCUAACGUUCCAAUAAAUAGAGUUAAGCUUAACAGAUCAGCUUCAACUCAGGAAACUAACUAGCCAAAAUUCAAGGAAAUAAGUUGUAACAACUUUGAAUGAGUAGAAAUACUAAACAUCAGAAAAUAAAAUAAAAAGCUUUUACUGCUGCUAUUUACUGGUUUAGACUUGGUCUAACACAAGCUAAAAACUUGGGAUUCUUCUUAGGAGUUCGCUGAGAUCUUCUUGGCCUAUCAAUACUUCCCCCGCCAAUUGGAUCCUUGUCCUCAAGGUCCAGAUAAGGAAACUGAUUACGCAGCAGUGAUGAGUCUUCCCAUGUAGCAUCUUCUUUGGGCAACUGCUUCCACUUUACCAAGCUCUCCUCGAUGAAUUUAUUGCCUUGCUUAAUCCAGCGUGUAUCGAGGAUAGUCUCUGGUUCUACGGAAGCCACACCUUCAUCAGUAAUAGGUGAAAGCUCUAAAGUAACUUGUGGAGGACCCCCAACAUAUUUCUUCAAGAGAGAGACAUGAAAAACAUGGUGAAUUUUGGUGCCUACUGGUAGGUGUAAUUGGUAAGCAACAUUACCGAUCUUCUUCUCGAUUUGAUAAGGGCCAUAGAACUUGCUAGCAAGUUUUUGAUGAACACGUUUGAAGGCAGUUUGUUGGCGAUAAGGAUGAAGCCUGAGAAGGACCAUCUCACCUACUUGAAACUCCACAUUUCGCCUCUUUUUGUCUGCUGUUUGUUUCAUCCUAUUGGCUGCCAUGUCCAAAUUCUUCUUCAAGUGCUGGAGCAAUUCAUCCCGCUGUAAGAGGUUUUGAUCAACUUCAUUAACCCGAGAUAACCCAUCAAAAUAAAGUAGAAUGGAGGGAGGAAGCCGACCAUACAAGGCUUGGAAAGGUGUCAUCCCCGUUGAACUGUGGUAUGUGGUAUUAUACCAUAAUUCUGCCCAAGGUAAAUAACUAUACCAUUUUCGUGGCCAUUGAUGGACGAAACAGCGGAGGUAUUGUUCAACACAGCGGUUCAUAACUUCGGUUUGUCCGUCGGUCUGCGGGUGGUAAGCGGAGCUCAAUUUCAACUUGGUUCCUGACAUAGUAAAGAACUCUUGCCAGAACUUGCUGAUAAAGAUGGGGUCGCGGUCACUAAUGAUUGAGUUCGGCAUGCCAUGGAGUUUGAUGAUGUGCUCUACAAAUUGUUCAGCUACAAUCUUUGCAGAAAAUGGAUGAGAUAAGGCAACAAAAUGAGCAUACUUACUUAGUCGAUCUACGACCACCAAAAUACUAUCCUUGCCGUGGGAGGAGGGAAGACCUUCAAUAAAAUCUAGACUAAUAUCAUCCCACACUUGACAGGGAAUGGGAAGUGGCUGAAGUAAUCCCGCUAGGGCCAGAGUUUCAGUUUUUGUUUUUUGGCAAACUUCACAUUGCGUAAUGUAGUCUUGGACGGGCCGGUACAUGGACGGCCAAUAAAAUUGUUGAGCUAACCUUUUGAAUGUCCUCAAUACACCAGAAUGCCCUGCCAUUUUGUUGUCAUGAAAUUCUUGUAGCAGCUGGUUGCGGAUAACUUGCGGAACAAUUACUCGUGUUUUGUAGAAGCAGAGACCAUUACGCAUUGAGUAUGGACCAGUGGGAUCUAUAGUGGAUUGGCGGCUCACUUGCUGCAUAUAAGGAUCAUCUUAUGCUGCCGUUCUCAUGUCAUCCCAAAGGGUAACCUGUGAAACAAACAAAGGAUUAAGGAGAGGGCUGUCAGGGCGGCGAGAGAGGGCAUCAGCUGCUGAAUUUUCACGUCCUGGCCGGUAAAGAAUUUCGUAGUCAUAGCCUAAAAGCUUUGCUACCUAUUUUUGUUGCUCAGGAGUGGCCACACGUUGAUCCAAAAAAUAUUUGAGACUCCGAUGAUCGGUCCGAAUGAAGAAUUUCCUGCCCAAAAGAUAUGGCCGCCAAGUCUGAAUUGCUUCUACAAUUGCGAGCAUUUCCUUAGCGUAGAUGGACCAUGCUCGUUUACUAAUUCCCAAGGCGCGACUCAUAAAUGCAAUUGGCUGACCCUGCUGAGUAAGGACAGCACCGAUUCCAUCACCUGAAGCAUCAGUUUCAACAAUAAAAGAGUCAUUGAAAUUUGGCAUGGCUAAAGUUGGGGUAGUUGUCAUGGCUUGCUUGAGCAGCUUGAAUGCACUUGCUGCUUCUUCAGUCUACUGAAAGCUUCCCUUUUUAAAGAGAUUGGUAAGGGGGCGAGCCAAAAGUCCAUAGUUCUGAACAAAUUUCCGGUAAUAACCUGUCAAGCCUAAAAAACCACGCAAUUCAGUAAUAUUAGCAGGUUGGGGCCAAGCUACCAUGGCCUCAAUUUUGUUGUUGUCUACCUUUACCCCUUGAUGCGUCACAAUAUGGCCCAAAUACUCCAGUUCUUGUUUGCCAAAGUCACACUUGCUUCCUUUGAUGAAAAACUGAUGUUGUCUCAGGAUGUCUAAUGUGGUUCUGACAUGUUCUAUAUGUAAUUCCCAGGUAGGACUAUAAACAAGAAUAUCAUCAAAAAAGACUAGUAUGAACUUGCGAAGAUGAGGAUGGAAUAUCGAAUUCAUAAUGGCUUGGAAGGUGGAAGGGGCAUUGCAUAGACCAAAAGGCAUAACUAGAUACUCAAAAUGGCCAUUAUAGGUUCUAAAUGCAGUUUUUGGAAUAUCGGAAGCAUGUACUCGUACCUGAUGAUAUCCAGCUCUCAAGUCUAGUUUGGUGAAAUAGGCUGCCCCAUACAACUCAUCUAGCAUAUCAUCUACCGUGGGGAUAGGAAACCGGUCUUUGAUGGUGGCUGCAUUUAGUACCCGAUAAUCUGUGCAAAAUCGCCAAGUACCAUCUUUUUUCUUCACCAACAAAACGGGCGAUGAGAAUGGACUGGUGCUGGGUCGAAUGAUUCCCAUGUUGAGCAUCUCGUGGACCUGUUUUUCGAUCUCUGCUUUUUGAAAAUAUGCAUAUCUAUAGGGCCGAACAUUGAUGGGUUGAGUACCUUCUUUGAGGGGAAUGUGAUGGUCGAUAUCUCUUAAGGGUGGUAGCGUGGUUGGUUCCUUGAACACAUCUGCAUAGUCCUUCAAUGUCUGCUGCAUAUUAGGACUGAUGUCUGCCCAGGUGGACCUCUCGGCAUUGUGCAGGUAGAUAGCAAACAUCAUUUGGCCUUGGCGCAUCUCUUUCGCAACCGAUGUCAAUGAUGUAGCUUGAAUGGUUUGGUUAAUUCCUUGUAACCUCCGUGCUUGAUUAUCCCAGUGGAAGUCCAUGGUUAAUUGUUUCCAAUUGCAGACCAUAGAACCUAGCAUCUCUAGCCAUUGGAUGCCUAACACUAUAUCAAGUCCUGCUAGGGGUAGAGAAUAGAGGGUGAGUGAAAAAGUAAUGCCUUGUAAAUUCACUUGUACCUCUUCAAAGCGACCUUGGCAGGUUAAUCGUUCCCCAUUUGCUACGCGGACUGCAAACGAUUUCGUUGGUAUCACUGGAAGUCGAAUCAAUCUAGCUACUCUCUCACUCAAGAAAUUGUGAGUAGAUCCACUGUCAAUCAACACCAUCACGUGUUGAGACCCAAUAGUAGCUGUUACUCGCAUGGUUUGAGGGGAUGUCCAGCCUGUAAGUGCAUGUAAUGAGAUUUCUGGUUCGACUUGAUCUUCUGGAGUUUCUGCCCUCUGCAACUCUCUGUCUUCCAUCUCAUAUUCUUUGGUUUGGUUGCUGCUUGGGCACUCAAGAAGGAGUAGUUGAGGUCCUUGACACUUGUGUCUGGGGGUGAAUUUCUCGUUGCAGUUGAAACAAAGACCUUGUGUUCUCCGUUUCUGCAUUUCGUCCCAACUCAACCUCUUGGGUGUGGCUGUUGGGUUAGAACGAUUCAUUGUGGUGCUGGUGGUAGGUACACGGUUCAGAAGUGGAGGUCGCGUGAACCUCUUUGUUCUGGCAAUCUGCUCAUCCCUCAUUCUUGAUAGGCUGAUGGCUUCCUUCAAUGUUUUGGGCUUGAACAUUCGAAUUCCAUCGGCAAUUUCGGGUUUCAAUCCUCCCAUGAAAGUGCCAACGAGAGCCUUCUGUGUCCAUCCGUGAACUCGAUUGACAAGCCUCUCAAACUCUUUUUGGUAAUCACGAAGGGAUCCAACCUGUCGAACUCUAGACAGAGCUUCAUCAAAAUCUUCACACUCUGUUGGUCCAAAACGAGCCCAUAAUUCCUCUUCAAAGAACUCCCAGGUCACUGAGCGGCCUUCCUCCUGGUAAGUCCGACGCAUCCAUUGCCACCAUUGAUUAGCUUCUCCUUCAAGGUGGAAAGAUGCUAGAGUUACCUUCUGAUUAUCUGCUAUGCCUUGAAAUUCAAAGAAUUGAGCUACUCUACUAAGCCAUUCAGUGGGAUCUUCUCCAGAGUAUUUUGGAAACUCCAACCUUGCCAUCUUGGAAUAGAAAAUCUGUCUGCCGCCGUUAUUCUCCUCUCGAUGUGAACGGAAAGAUCAUUCUCGCCCAUGGUUGUUGUUGCUAGAGGCUUCUCUGGUUGAAAGAAAAGCUUCUGAAAGUUUGUUGAUGGUUUCCUCCAAAUGGUGCAGCUUAUCAGUUACGCCUAACUCCAAUUGAUGCAUUCCAUCUUGAACUCCAUCGAGUCCAGCCUCCAAAGCCUCAAUCCUCUCUUUGUUGGAUGCCAUUAUAACCUGCUCUGAUACCAAUGAUAGGUCCCAAUCACAGCAGCAGAAAAUAUAAUAAAUACUCACUUUCUUUGGGUGAAAGAUAAACCACACAAUUAUUUACAGGAUAAUUCUCGUACCUUUAUUCAUUGCUAACGUUCCAAUAAAUAGAGUUAAGCUUAACAGAUCAGCUUCAACUCAGGAAACUAACUAGCCAAAAUUCAAGGAAAUAAGUUGUAACAACUUUGAAUGAGUAGAAAUACUAAACAUCAGAAAAUAAAAUAAAAAGCUUUUGCUGCUGCUAUUUACUGGUAUAGACUUAGACUUGGUCUAACACAAGCUAAAAACUUGGGAUUCUUCUUAGGAGUUCGCUGAGAUCUUCUUGGCCUAUCAAGUAAGGACUGGCACUUGAUCGAAUGACACCUGAUCUCAACAUCUCAGCUACCAUUUUCUCUAUUUCUGCUUUCUGAAAAUAGGGGUAACGAUAUGGCUUUACCGAUACUGGUCCUUAGUUAGGUUGCAGUGGUAUCCUGUGAUCAUGGGCACUGCCUUGGAGGAAGGUCUUUAGGUUCCGAAAAUACAUAUCUGUAAGUGCUUAAAAUUUAUUGCACUUGUUUCGGCACUGGAAGGGUUUCAUUUUAAGUGUUGGAAACAUUUAGCUGUAGUAAAAAACCUUCUUUCUUUUUCCUCAUCGCUUGUUGACAUUGAAGGUGACCCACCAAUUUAUUUUGUGGAGUAGAUAGACCCUGCAACACCAUGUCCUUCCCACUUACCUUAAACUUACCAGCUUAGAAAAAUCCCAUUCAAUAGGACCCAAUGUACUUAGCCACUGAGUGCCUAAAACAACAUCAUAGCCUUCAAGGGGUAACAAAUAAAAAUCCACAAUUAAUGGAACUCCUUGUAAUUUAAUUGGAGUUUGCGGACAUGUACCUAGGCUACUCAAUCUUUCACCGGAUGCCACCAUCACAUUGAGCUGCUUGAUUGGUAUUGGUUGUAGCCCCACCCUUUCGGCUGGCUCUUGUCGGACAAAAUUGUGGGUGCUUCCAGAGUCAAUAAGUAUUGUCACCACCUUUUGCACCAGCCUUCCCAUAACUCCCAUCAUUUCGGGAGUUUGAGUUCCAACCAUGGCAUGGAAAGAAAUUUCAGUUGCUGUCUCAGUUUGUUCAACAGCCUCAUCUCCCUCAAUCUCCAUCUCGACAUUUUCAUUACUAUCUUCAAAGCUUGCUUGAAUUAGGAACAACAUUUUGCAACGAUGGCCAGGGCUGAAUUUUUUAUUGCAUUUGAAGCUAAGCCUUUCUUUUUCGGCUCGUUUAACUCUUCAAUUGUCAUCUUUUUCAUUGGCACACGAGGCAAGCUUGUGGGUGCCACACUAUGAGAUUGAGAACCCUUUUUACAUCAACAGAGGAUUUGCGUCUAGAGAAUUCUCUUGCUUCAUAUAACCGAGCCAACCCGAUAGCCGAAGUCAAGCUGUCUGGUCGAUUGGUUUGUACAUCAAUACGAAUUGAUUCACACAAACCACUAAUAAAACAGCUCACUUGGCGUGCUUGAGAUAGAUGUUCGACUUUAGCUAACAAUUUCUCAAACUUACUUUGAUAUUCCUCUACACUUCCAGAUUGUUGUAACUUGGUUAGCUCUCCAAAGAAAUCAAGAAAUUUGUUAGGACCAUACCUUGAGUGAAGCCAUUCUUUAAAUUCAUUCCAAGAUAUGUAAACCGCUUCUUGUUUCAGUAGUUGGUACCAUAGUUGUGCAUCGCUCUCCAAGUGAAAUGAAGCUAAAGAAACUUGAUCGGCAGUAGGAGUUUCAUAGAUUUUAAAGAACUGUUCAGCUCUGCAUAACUAGCUUGUUGGAUCCGCCCUACCAUCAAAUCUUGGAAAGUCUAAUUUUACUAGUUUUAGUGCAUAGCAAUGGCUGGAACUAGCUUGAGGUGUGUUAUCGUUGCCGUUGCUAUGUCCUCUUUGGACUCGCUGAGGAGUCGAAGAAUCUUCUGCCUUAUCAUUAGCUGCUUGACUUGAUAUUUGAUCUAUCCGUGCAUUCAGCCUUUCAAACAUUAAGCUAAUUUGGCUGAGGAUUUCAUUUUGGCUAGUGGUUAGUGACUCAAUACUCUUUUCAAUAUUCUCCACUCUUUGAUCCAUAGCCAGGCUCUGAUACCACUUUGGUACAAGCAAGCUAUUUUUAUUCUGCUUGUCUCUUCCUAUCUUGCCCUUGCACUUGGAAACGUUGUAAGUUGGCUAGUUCGAGGAAGCCAAUCCCUCCCAGGUAAAACACAAGUAUUUCUUUGAUUACAUGAUUCAUGCUUUUAUUAAUCAACCAUGGCUUAUUUAUACAAGCUAAACAAAACAGAAACUUGAUUACUUGAACAAAAUAAUCCCAACAAAUUAGGAACUGGAUACUAAGUUGAUAAUAUCUCAACUAACUUGGACUUAUUCAACUUUACUACUACUUUAUUCAAUUGGACCGAACAUGACCAUUAACUCAAUAAGCAUAUUAGCUACGCUACCAUGCUAAAUGUUACCAGGCAACUCGUGUUUCUUUAUACUAAAAACAAAUGUUUGUUAUCUUUCAACGCAUUUGGAAAUUGUAACUUUGGCAUGCCAAAAUGUAUAACUGAAUAUUGGUGUAAUGAAAUAGGACUAGCUCUUCACCCGUUCAAUCUUUAAAUAGCUUUCUUCCUCAGAAUGAAAAGGUGGGCAUGCAUGGCUUGUCGUUUAGUUUAAAGAAGGGAAAAGAACUUCUCGAGCUCGACCUCCUAUUAUAUAAAGAUAUUACCUACUGCACUAAUAUUAUAUUUGUGCACAAUUAUGGUAGGCGACAUUGAACCUUACCCAAUUAUAAGGAGCCGUAGGCGUGCUAGCUAACUAGUUUUGGGCUCGAUUUUGAUAUUAGGAUGCUGUGACUUUCUAUUACUUUGGGAAGAAAAGAGAAAUCAAAAAAUAAGAAAAAAAGAGAGAUCAAAAAAUAAAAUUAAUAAUAAGUAAACAUAUUAUACGUUUAUCAUUAUAUAAUUGUGAGACCAAGUCUUUCAACUUUUAAUUCGAGCAGUAAAUGUUCAUCAAACAUUUCAGUACUAGAGUUAUUACCUACUAGUAUUAUCUUGCCAUUUUUACCUUUGUUGUUUACGAAACACUUUACCAAACAUUUUAAUAUCAUAGAUACUACCUACAAAUAUUAAUAGACAGGUGAUUUUCGGGGUUGAGAAAGCCUAAAUUUAUUUUUUAGCCCUUUAACUCUCCCAAGAUUCGAAUUUACUCAUCAUUUUACUAUUAGAGAUUUCACUUACUAAUAUUGAGGGUCCUUGAUGCAAGGUAAUUCGAAGUAUAGUGACUAAGGAUGAUACCUAACUCUUCUGGAAUACUCUGGAUUAAGCUCUCAAUUCUCGUGUAAUUAGAUUGAUUAGACUCGAGAUGUGUCUGCAAAAGAAACUCCAAAGGUCAAGUUAAUAUUUGAAGAUUUUAAAAGUAAAUUUAGAUCUUAAUUCUCUCUUGACUAAAUUCUGAAAUUAGUCAAAAGAUUCUUUCUCGAUCAUUUGGCUAUUAUUUAUAGACUGAGAGAUGACUGGUUGGUUAGAAAAUAUUUUUUAGAUAUGAAUCCUCGUUGUUCUUCUCUUAAUUUGAUUUAGGAUGUUAGAUAUAAUAACCAUUUUUGUCUGUAUUUGAAAUCUCAACAAGUGAUUCUAUUAGUAACCAUGUGCUUUCACUUUAUAAACUUUUCAGGGAUUAUUGUCAUUUGCUUUCUCUGGGCUAUCUGUGUAAAUCAUCCAUCAACCACUAAUCUUAAAUCUGAGUUUGUCUGUAAGUUUCAUCCAAUAUUGACUUGUAAUUUAGGAUUAAUGUGAAUCCGGUUGUAUCGACCUUUAAUUUGGGAUCAAUAUGAAAUGCAUUUGACGUUUAAAUUAACAAGUUUUAAAAAAUACGUGGUGUAACGUAAGUGGUUAUAUUUUUUGGCACUUGUGAAAAUAAUUAGAGAAAUAAUUUUUGAGUGGAUAAAUCCUAUAUUUAGUUUUUAGCCUUUAAUUUCUUUCAAAAUUCAAAUUUGUUAAAUAUUCAAUAUUACAAAUAUCAUAUACUAGUAUAUUUAAACAGAUAAUUUUUAAGUAGACGAACAAAUUUUAAAACUAUUCAAGCCACCUUUUGGGCGUAGACGUGUGAUUUUUUUUCAAUACAUAAAUAAAAAGAGAAAAAAAUCAACUAAGAGUAUUUCCAAAAGACUAUAAAGUUUACUCUUCAAAUAUUUAUUUACUUACCUAUGUGGAAAAUAGAAAAGUGAAAAAAAAUACAUUAUUCUCCAAAAGACUCUUCAAAUAUAAAUGAGUUAAUAUUAUUUUAAUUAAAUAACUAUUUUUUAAAGAAAAAGUCAAUAGUUAUUAAAGUACCUCUCUCUCUUUCUCUAACAAAAAGUAAUAAAAUAUAAAUUGAAGAGGGAGAAAGUAACUCUCUUAAUUUAAAGAGAGAUGAUCAUUUCUUUUUUGAAGAAUCUUAAUUAGAGUGUUUUUUAAAAUUUUAAAUACUAAUGUGGCUCUUCAAAUAAGUAAUAAAAUCUUAUUUGAAGAGUGUUAUGGUGAUGCUUUAAGACAAUUGAGAACCCAUCUUGAAUGGUUCAAUCCCCCACUACUGACAAAAUAAGAAUAUAUUUUUUUAAAGGGAGUAGCUUAUUUCGGAGUUGAUUAAUACACAAGUAGAAUUGUAUAUUUAUUGAAAAGAAAAGAAACAGUUUAAAGAACUUCUAGUCGAAGGAUUUUCCUAUCUUGCAUUUAUUGUAACUUAUAAUUGAUUUUUUUUAAUACAAAAAUCGUAAUAAAAUAGUGAAAUCCGGUGGCCAAAUUUUACGUAGCUGUAACAGGGAGACGGUAAAUGAGAUGUUGAAAUUCAAACCGUCUCACUUACCAAAUGAAGACAACAUGCAUUACUUCAGCGAAACGUGGCAUUCAUGCUGAAAGGGUCACAACGAAGAAUGAUAUUCUCAUAGACCGCUUGAUCUUUACCGUUCAAAUUUCGCGCGGGAAGGAUCCAACGUCUGUAAUGGUCGCCGCUUGGUGUUAUUGUAGAAAAUUCAAUUUUACCCUUGACAGAGGGGCUGCUAUAUUUAGCAUCAAAAACUGACAAAUUAUACACUGCAUCUGCAUGCAGGUCUGGUGGUCUGGUGGAGAGAUGAUGAUACAACGAAUUACGGCAAGUGUUCCGCAUGGAAUACGAAGAAAUUUGCGGUGACUUCACAACGACUUAAAGACACGUGGCUGGAGGUUGUGUUUGUUAGUGUCCUUACUGUCGUAUAGUGAAUAAAAGCAAUUUUAAAAUCUGACGAGCGGGCCACACAAGAUACAGCUUCCUACUACAAAAUACAAAUGACAAAAAGCGCAGUUACGUGACGAGUCAGUGUCUCUCUGUUUGCAUAUAAAAGCUAUGAAAAUCUCAGUUCUUUUGUCACCCAUUGAAAUCAGACUAAGUAAACACAGUGACCAACAAAAUGGUGAUACCUACAGCUGUGGCCGGCGGCGCCGGCGGGACUUUUUGUUCAGUUUGUUCUUCAAAUCUUUUUCCAAAACCUAAAUCCUGCCAAGACGUGGCAAUGGAAACAAUAGAAGAAACAGUUGAAACAGAGAAUAAGAUACCCUUGAUUACGGUCAAAGAAGACGAAGAGGAAGAGAAAGAAGCUUCAACAUAUGAGAACAGCAACGGCGGUGGGCCAUCCUCGUCUUCUUCUUCCAUGCCGACUUUACCCAGAAUCAAAGAAGAAGAAGAAGAAGAAGAAGAAGAAGAAGAAGAAGAGGAAGGCGCCUUUGAUGAUGAACUUGUCGGCGGCGGAUCGUUGCCAAAGCCAAUGGAAGGAUUAAACGAGGUCGGUCCGCCGCCCUUUUUGAGGAAAAUAUACGAGAUGGUGGAGGAUCCGGAAACCGACCCGGUUGUUUCUUGGAGCCUCAAUCGUAACAGCUUUAUCGUUUGGGAAUCUCACGACUUCUCCGAAAAUCUUCUUCCCAAGUAUUUCAAGCACAAGAAUUUCUCCAGCUUCAUUCGCCAGCUCAAUACUUAUGUGAGUAACCACCAACCAACUUUAAUUAUUAUUAUUUUUAUUUUUAUUUUGGAAUGGAGGAGGUAGUAUUUGUGAUUUGGGUUUGGGUUUUGACAGUGCAAAGUUGUGUUAUUAUUUAGGGGUUUAAGAAGAUUCACUCGAAUAGAUGGGAAUUUGCAAACGAAAAGUUUCGAGGAGGGAAGAAACAUUUGCUUAAAAACAUUAAGAGAAGAAGUAGAUUUAACAAGGCACAAGAUGGAACAGUAACUUUAGCUUGUGUUGAUUCUGCCAAAUUCGGAGUGGAGAUGGAGCUUGAGACCCUAAGGAAUGAUCAGAAGACAUUGAGAUUGGAAAUGUUGAAACUUAGACAGCAACAAGAUGAGUCACUGUGUCAAAUGAGUGCAGUUGCAGAACGCAUUCGGUGCGCAGAGUGUAAGCAGCAACAGAUGUUGAAUUUCUUUGCCAAAAUUGCUAAAUACCCUAACUUUGUUCAACAAUUAGUUCACAAGAGAAAGCAACAGAGAGAGCUUCACGGGGAUGAAUUCAAAUUGAGUAAGAAACCAAGAUUGACAGCAACCCAAUUAGAGUCUCAAAGCGUGCCUGAGUCUGUGGACAGCAGCGAAAAUGUCAAUUGUAGAAACCAAGCUCGGGAGCAAUUGGCAACAAUGCAAUCUGAGCUGACUGAUAUGUUGCCGGCAGACAGUACAAAUAUUGACACAACGGAUACUCCGCCGGCGUUCCAAGCUCUUAUGGAUGAUGAUGGCUUGUGUAGAAGUCCUAUUCAGGAUCUUAAGGGGAAUGUGAUGUGUACAUGUGGAAAUGGAACAACAAUUACUGCUCAGGACUCAUCUUCUGUUUAUAACACCUUCUUGGGAAACGUACUUGGGGACAGUUCAAUUACAGAGAAUGGGACCGAUGAUGAUCAAGUCGCUGUGAGCGACAGUCAGCUUUUUCAUGAGCUGGAGGAUUUGAUUGGAAAGUCCCAUAGUUGGGGUGGUUAUGUAAAUGAGCUCGCGGAACAAGUUGAUUGUGAUGGAUCCAUCCUUUGACUCCUUUUUUCUCGGUGGUAUGUUACAUUAAUCCCCUCAUUUUAUCAAGUUGUAUCUAUGUUCUAAGAUUUGUUAGAAUGUGAUUUAAUUUAUGGUGUAGGAAUAGUGAAUAUUAAUUGCUUUCGCAAUUAUUGCAGGGGAGCUGCCGAGCUGAAGAUGAUGUGGUGGUUUUGUAGACUUCACAGAUCAGUUAAAAUAUGCGGGCCCAUGAAUUCCUGUGAAACCAAACCAUUUUGAAAAACCAGUGUUUUGUUCAUAUAUGUGUAUCAAAUUGUACACAUCUAACCUCUUUUCUUUUCUUC
RNAcentral lists this long non-coding RNA (64796 nucleotides) under Citrus sinensis (sweet orange). Its description in RNAcentral is "long non-coding RNA (CSIN_LNC001758)". Lineage: Eukaryota; Viridiplantae; Streptophyta; Magnoliopsida; Sapindales; Rutaceae. The record is from RNAcentral.